This 67934-nucleotide long non-coding RNA is filed under the name Vitis vinifera (wine grape). Its description in RNAcentral is "long non-coding RNA (VVIN_LNC003759)". Lineage: Eukaryota; Viridiplantae; Streptophyta; Magnoliopsida; Vitales; Vitaceae. The record is from RNAcentral.
GAAACCAUAGCUCAGGCAGAGAGUAGUGGCCUUGCCUUUGCCCUUGCCCUUGCCCUUGCCCUUGCCCUUGCUCUUGCCCUUGCCCUUGCCCUUGCCCUUGUGAGGAAUCCUUGUUGAUUUUCAUUUUGCGCUUCUCCAGGAAGAGGAUGCAGUCGGUCAAUGCAAUGCUGAGGUCGUAAAGACAAUCCUUCAUUCCUGUCGACGGCGUGAGGCUUUUAGUUUCCAGAAGCUCUCGAAUUUGUAGAAAAUAAGAAUGGAGGGGGAUGUCAUGAGGUGGAAGGUGUUCCUCCUCUGCUUCUUCCAAUUCAUCCAUGAAUUUGUUCUUCAAAAACUGAAGAAUAUCUGCUGACAUUUUGGCUGUAAAAACCUAAUCUCCCAACUCUCACAAUUAAUAGACUGGACAAGUACACACAUGCUACGUAAGGCUUUUCUUGUUCAAAUGAAGAGAAUUUCUUGUGGUCUAAGGAAACGGACAAGAAUCCGAAAUAGAAAGAAAGAAAAAGAAAAGGAAGGAAAUUAAAGCAAAAGAAAGAUGUUUAUGCGGAUGCUUAUUUGUUUGACACUUCAAACUACAUGGAAUUCCCAUUGGUGAUGAUGCUGGGAAUUUGGAGGAUGAUUUUUUUAUGGGAUUAGGGAUUGUAUUAGGGAUGACAAUGGGCAAGUCUGAGAUGAAGAUUACGAUUUUUCAAUAAAAAAAUUGUUUGACAACUUUUUGUGAUAAUUUAUUUAAAUUAAUAAAAUUAUAUUUAUUAUUAAUCUAAUCAAAAUAAUUUUUUUAAUAUUAUAUUUUGGUUAAUUGUCCAAAACCUAAUCUGCUGACAUUUUGGCUGUAAAAACCUAAUCUCCAUCGGCAUAAGGGUUUUCUUGUUCAAAUGAAGAGAAUUUCUUGUGGUGUAAGGAAAAGACAAGCAUCCAAAGUAGAAAGAAAGAAAAAGAAAAAGGAAGGAAAUUAAAGCAAAAGAAAGAGGUUUAUGCCGAUGUUUACUUGUAUGACACUCCAAACUACAUGGAAUUCCCAUUGGUGAUGAUUCCGGGAAUUUAUUUCCAUUUUAAUUGUUUUUUUCCAUAAUUUAUGUCAAUUUACAUAUAUAUAUAUAUAUAUAUAGUUGUGUUUGAAGUUUACAAAAUUAAUCUUAAAAUUAUAGAAAAUGUAAAAUGUAAAUUAUUUUAUUGGUAUUUCAAUUUAAAAACAAAAAAAAAACAAAAAAAAUUUAACAAAAUGUAUGUGAAAAUAUUUUGUCCAAUAUUUCUAUAAAAUAUAAAUGAAAAUAGUAUUAUCGAUGCAAUCCUAUGUUUCUCACUUUAUUGUAUUCCUUACAAAUGAAUUUUUUUUUAUUAAGCUUUCAAAUUUAUUGUGACCCACCAAAAUAUACCAAAAAUGGUAUUUAUAUACCAAUUAAGAUUUUUUUUUUUUUUUGGCUAAACGUGACAAAAAAAUUAAAAUAGUAUUUAACUCACCUAUCAACCAUAGUUUGACAAAUGAAAAACAUACCAAAGUUGAGUGGAGGAUAUCAAAGAGGAAGAUUUGAGAAUGGAGUGAUGAAUGAGAAAUUUGAAGAAUUUUGUGGUGAUCAAUACAUUCCAAAGUUGAAGAUUUGAUUGUUAAAAUAAGAAAAUUUAUUUAUUAAAUCAUAUUAUUUUUUCAAUAUUUAAGGAAAUCAUUGGACCAACUUUCGAUCCCAUAUUGGGAAGGCCAGAUAACACAAAAUACCGAUUAUUAAUUUAUUUUAUUAUAACUUCAUAUGAAAAAUUAUAACAAUAGUAAAAGAAUGUAAAAUGAGAAAGAUACGAAGAAUAAUGUGAGAAAUGAACAAAAAAUGUGAGAAUUCUUCAUACCCUCUUCCAAUUUUUUAUUAUUUUUAUUUUUAAUUUCCAUCAAUUCUAACUUAGUUCCUAUUAUUAAACUAUUUUAUUGUCAUUUCAAGUAACAAAAAAAAAAGCUUAAAAUUAUUAAAAUUGUGAAAUUGUAAUCAAUCUUAAAAAUGAAAUUCAUGAGGAUCCAUAUAUCAAUGGUAGUUCUAACCAUGAUUCACGAUUUAUUUAUGAAAAAGUUUAAUGGUAUUUCAAAUGAAGAAGCGUGCAAAUAGGAAUUGAAUUGUACAGAUCAUGAAACAAAAACAUUUUACAACAUAUGCUAAAGCAAUUGGAUUUAGUGUUUAGAAAGAUGAUUUGAAACGUGAUAAGAAUGGAGGUAUUAUAUCUCCAAAGUGGGUUUGUUCUAAAGAAGGACAUCAAUUGGCCAAAUGUUUUCAAAAUGAAAAUCGACAAUGUGAGCCAAGAUCAUUGGCUAGAGUUGGUGUGAAGCUUCAUUUUGUAUUGGUGUGGACCCUGUAUUUCAGCUCAAUGUAUUCCCACUUGAUGACGAAACUCGCUUUUUUUUUUUCAUUUAUUUGGCAAAAAUUUGAUUUUUAGAAAAAGACUUGGAGUUGCCACUUAUUUUUGUUUUAUUUUUUUAAAGCGAAAACAAAAUAAUAAAGAAAACCCCUAAAUGUACUCCUUAUUUGGAAAAGUAGGUCUAUGACAAAUCGAGUCGAAGUUCGGGAGUCAGGUUACUUAUCAAGAAGGUAUAGUAAAUACCAUAGCACCCCUCUAAGUCCCUAAAAACGGGUUUCUACUAAUAAGGUGAAGCGAACAUGACAAUUGGUAAGAAAAUCAAUGGAUACCAAAGUUAUCACAAAUUAAAAGCAAGUCAUGACAAUGAAUAAAUAAACAAAGUGAGAGCGAGAGCGUACCUUGGUAGCAGGUAAUAAAGCGCUAUCAUGAAACAUAGUUAGCGCGCAAUAACAAAUAUAAAAUAUAUCUCAUGCAUAUCAAAGAUCAGAACAAAAACCAAACAAUAUUCAUUAGGCAUAGCAAUCAACAAUUAGAAGAGAAAUCUCAUAUGUAGGGCCCCCACUAAAGCCCAAUUUAUCUUACAUGAAUUGGUCUCACAAAUUUCAUUAUUUUGGAAUUAUGAAAAAAAAAAUUCAUUCUUACUUAUGAAAAAUCGAAAGAAAUGGAAGAUUAUUUGAAAACCGAAGUGGAAUUAAAACUAUUUCUAGAGAAAACUGGAUUUUUGAAAUUUAUUUGGAAAUUGGAGUCUUGGAAAUUAAAUUUAAGAAUUGGAAUUUUGGAGAUUAAAUUUGACAGAAAAUGGAAUUUUUAGAAUUAUAUGAGAAUUGGGGUUUUGAAAGUUAAAUUUAAGAAUUGGAGUUUUGGAAAUUAAAUUUGGGAGAAAUUGGGAGUUAAAAAAAUUGUUUGAGAAUUGGAGUUGUGAAAAUUAAAUUUAAGAAUUGGAGUUUUGGAAAUUAAAUUUGAAAGAAAUUGGAAGUUAAAAAAAAAAAAAAAUUGUUUGAGAAUUAGAGUUUUGAAAAUGGAACAUGUUAUAAAAAAAAUUAAAUUUAGAAAUUGGAACUUUAGAGAAUUAUGUAAAGAUAGAAUUUAAAAUAAAUAAAUAGAUAAAUAGAAUAAUAAUAGUAGUGAAAAUAAUAAUGAUUAAAUGAGUAAAUAUGAAAAUUGGAAUUUUAGAAAUUGGGAAUUAAAUUUGGGAAUUGGAAUUUUGAAGAAUUAUUUAAAGAUGAAAUUUUAAAAAAUAAAAUUAAAAAUAAAUAAAUAAUAAUAAUAAUAAUAAUAAUAAUAAUGAAAAUAAUGAUGAUUAAAUAAAUAAAUGUGAAAAUUGAAAUUUUGGAAAUUAGAAAUUAAAUUUGGAAAUCAAAAUUUUGAAGAAUUAUUUAAAGAUGAAAAUUUUAAAAAUAAAUGAAUAAAAUAAUAAUAAUAAUAAUAAUGAAAAUAAUGAUGAUUAAAUAAGUAAAUGUGAAAAUUGGAAUUUUAGAAAUUGGAAAUUAAAUUUAGAAAUUAGAAAAUUGGAAUUUCGGAAAUUGGAAAUUAAAUUUGGAAAUCAGAAUUUUGAAGAAUUAUUUAAAGAUGGAAUUUUUAAAAAAUAAAUAAAUUGAUAAUAAUAACAAAAAUAAUAAUGAUUAAAUAAAUAAAUGCGAAAAAAUGGAAUUUCAGAAAUUGAAAUUAAAUUCAGAAAUUGGAAAUUAAAUUCGGAAAUCAGAAUUUUGAAGAAUUAUUUGAGAACGGUAUUUUGGGAAAAUUAAAUUUUCAAGAUUGGAAUCUUGGGAAAUUAUUUUGAGAAUGAAAUUUCGAGAAAUUAAAGAAAUUGAAAUCUUGAAAAUUUAUUAUGAGAAUGGGAUUUCGGAAAAUCAAAUUUCGAAAGUUGGAAUCUUAAAGAAUUAUUUUGAGAAUGAAAUUUCAUAAAAUUAAAUUUCAAAAAUUGGAAUCUUGAAAAAUUAUUUUGAAAAUGGAAUUUCAGGAAAUUAAAGAAAUUGAAAUCUUGAAAAUUUAUUAUGAGAAUAUGAUUUCAGAAACUUAAAUUGCGAAAGUUGGAAUCUUAAAUAAUUAUUUUCGGAAUGGAAUUUCGAAAAUUGGAAUCUUAAAGAAUUAUUUUGGGUAUGGAAUUUCGGAAAAUUAAAUUUUGAAAAUUGGAAUCUUGAAAAAUUAUUUUGAGAAUGGAAUUUCGAAAAACUAAAGAAAUUGAAAUCUUGAAAAUUAAUCAUGAGAAUGGGAUUUCGGAAAAUUAAAUUUUGAAAGUUGGAAUCUUAAAAAAUUAUUUUGGGAAUGGAAUUUCGGAAAAUUGAAUUUCGAAAAUUGGAAUCCUAAAAAAUCAUUUUGAGAAUGAAAUUUUUAUAAGAGGCGAUUUAGGAGGAUGAUACGUGGCCUGACGAAAGGUGGCCAUGCAUAGCCAAACACUCCAACGUGUGCUUUAUUUUACAAUAUCAAAUUCAAAUCAAGCUUGUGGACCCCAUCCCAAAAUUCAUUUCUCCAUGUAUUAAAGCUUAUUCCCAUCUUGAUUGUGCUAGCCCCAGUACGUAGCAAACCCAUUUUCAUGUUGAAAAAAAUAUCAUACCCACACCAACAUGCCAUUUUCCAAUGCAUAUAUCUAUCAUAUUCACAUCAUAAACCCAUUUUUUAUGCAAUAUUCAAUGAGUGAAUCUUAUACUUGGGAUGUGGUUUGUGAACGACAAAGAGACCCAUCUUAUGUUUCUAGAGAGAGAAGAGUGGUGACGGGAAUGCAAAGAUGGGUAUGAGGGCUGAAAAAAAAUGGAGAUGGCCAUGCACUUGGGACUUCAUGCACGUGGAGAAUGGGAGGGAAAGGAACCAAAAGUAAGCUAGGUGGUGGGCAUGAAAGGUGGAAGGGUGGUGAGAUGAGAAAGGUGGUCAAUAUGAAGGCGAUUGCGUGCAUGGGAUUGGUGUUAAGUGUAGCCACGGGUAGUGAGAGAAAGUGAGAAAAAUAGGUUUAAUGGGUAUGGGAAAAAUGGAAAUGCAUAGGGGGCAUGAAGGACGGGUAUGGAGAUAGGUGAAUGGGGAAUGAAUGGGAAAGGUGGUAGAUAUGGUGUGAGGGAAAGUGGGCAUGAUAGGUACGGUAGGUGUGAAGCAAUGGGUUUGAUGGAGGAUAAGAUGGAUGAGAGAUGAAGGGUGAAGUGGGUUAGAGAGUAUUAAAGAUAUGGUGAUAUGCAUGGAAGGUUAGGAAAGAUGAGGUGGUGAGCUUAGGGGUGGGUAUGGUUACGGGCAUGGUGAUGGGCAUAAUGGAACAUGUGGGAUGGAGAUGAAUGGUGGAGACAUUUGCAAAGGCUUGUGUGGCCAUGCAUGGUCAUGCAAAAGUGGGGGGAAUGGGCUUAAUGGGUACGGAUAUGAGUGUGAUAGGUCGUGACGAGUGAUUAAUGGAGCGUGAUGAUAAAUGGAGAAAAAGGGUAAGAGAAGGGUGAAGGAUGGAGUGGGUUGGAGGGUUUGGGAUGAUAAGAACGGUGGUGAAUGCAAUGGGUGAGUUGGAAUGGUGCUGACAAAAUGGAUGAAGUCAUGCCACCUGGCUUCAAGUUUCAUCCCACGAACAACAUAUUGUAAAAGAGAGUUUCCUACUCCUAUUCAGUUUGAUGCCCCAUAAUGAAAAGCCUCAACUGACAUGUUUGCAUGGACAUCGAAUGGGAACUGUACACAAUCAAAACACCCAUUCAAUGCAGCCACAUGAAACCCCCAUCAUAACUACAUUUCUUUUAAGAACUUCCUUGAUCCCCACCAUGCUCAUGACAUAUUCAAGCUCUUUCUCGUCAGUACUGCCAUCCCAUGGUCUCGCAUCCCAGGGUCUCAUCAAAUACUAAGUAAUUCAAAUAAGCCUCAACUUCAUGCAAAGAGUAAAGUCGGUUUUAAAACUAGUCAAAUUAUGAAUUAUAUAAUUGAAUGGUGUUUUUUGCAUAAAGGAGUGUGAAUUCCAAAUUUACUUGAAGUAAUUCUUUAAAUUUUUAAAAAGUGGUUUUUAAAAAUUGGUCAAAUGCCUAUUUGAUGAAGAAAACGCUCUUUUAACUCUCUUUUCCCCUUAUUUAUGUAAAGAGAACACUUUUUGUAAGGUAGUGGUUUUUUUAUUUUAUAUUUUUUUUUAAUUCUAAAUAAAAUUGAAUUUAACUUAAUUCUAAAUAAAAUUUAAUAGUAUUAAGUUAUUUUUUAUUAUUUUAUUUCUAUUAAGUAUUAAUAGGGUGAGAGUUAUAUUAAGAUUAUGUUUUAAUUGUUUCAAAAAGUAGUUUUUAUGAUUCAAUAAAAAACUAAAUACUUUGUCUAUUUCUAUUUAGUAAAAAAAAAUUAAAAUAAAUAAUAAGUAAAAAAAAAUAGAUAAUCUAAAGUUUGAAAACAAAUUAGAUUUAACAUUAAAUUAAAGAAACAAACACCACCUAACUAAAAUCCCCUAUAACAUGUUGAUGUUUAUCAGUUCACAUAUUAUUCCAUGGAGUGAGAACUACCCAUAAGAAUUUCCAGUAUGUUUUCACAUUUUUAAUGAACAUCUAGUGAUGGCAUCUCUAAAAUCCAAUGGGUGAUAUGUAAAUAUAGCAAACUUCCCAAGGAAGAAAAGAGAUUGAAAUGACUCUGAUAAACUAUUUACCUUCUUCCUUCAAUUACUUUCCACUUUCAUUGUCAAACAUCAAUCUUGUUAGAAACCGUUUUGUAUUUUUAAUAAAAUAAAAUAAAAUAAAAAGUUUUUUUUUUUUUAAAUUGUGGCCCAUUUAAAUAUUAUUUUCCCUAAAAUAAAUGAAAUGUGGGGUCACAUCUCUUCUGGAGUAACCACCCAUGUCUUCAAACGUGAGACAUAUUACUCGGUUGAAAACUACCCUAAGUCUUCUUUGAUGGGAAGAAGAGAAAAGAAAAUAUAAAUAUACAGUAUUAAUUUCAAAAGUGGGAAAAAAGGUUCUCUAGUCUACAAGAAUAAGUUUGUGAGUUCUAUCAGUGUAUGGACAUAAGAUCUUGUAAGGACUAGCCAACUAAUCCCUAUUUUGUGUGAAUCUAAUUGUCAUGGUUGGAAGUACAAUCUUGAAUUUUCAUUUUAUUACUUGCCAAAAGGCGAGGUUUGACAUGGCAAUCUUCAGCACCAUGGAGGAUUAUCAAAUGUACAAGUAGAAGUUCGCUCAGAGGAAAGUGGUUCUAGGGAGAAAUAUCAAUUUCUCCCAACUACAGCAUUUCGGGUUUGAGGGUCUCUUCAGUCGGAUGGGUUGGCUGCCAGUAGUGACGAUUUUGGAGCUGAUUUUCCCGACUCUGGUGCGUGCAUUCUAUUUGAGGGGCACAUAUGGACUAGGUGGACCACUUAUUUCCACCAUUAGAAGAGUUGAGAUUCAGCUGGACCCGGAGAGUAUCUACCGUAUUUUUUACAUUGCUCCAGUCGGACUCAAGGUGUACGAGUCCAAUACUUGGCCUACUUUGCCUGGUUUCGAGCUUAGAGAGACCAUUCAAAGGAUGUACGGACUGACAGACACCCAGGGGAUGGGCAAACCAUUAGCUCACAGCCUGACCGUGUCUAGUAGAGUACUACACCACGUGAUCUGCUUCAUCUUGCUACGACGAGGUAGAUACCAAGACGAGGUCUCUUACCUUGAGGCCUCAUGGACUCGAUUCUGACGAGGAGACGGAUUCACUUGGGGUAUUUAAUGAUGAUGCACAUGAUUUCAUGUUACGAGAGCUCAACCCAUGUGCUCCCCUAUGGCCGCUUCCUCACUAAAGUAUUCAAGGAUGUUAGGGUCGAUUUGAGUAGAGAAAGAUUUUGAGGCCUCCAGCAUUUACGACACUUAUGAUGAGCAGUCCUUGGGAUGGAUGAAGUUUGAGAAGGUCCCCGAUGGCUCCUGGAUUAGGAAAGCAGAGCGACCACCAGCACAAGCCCGAGGACAGGGACAGGUGCAUCUCGGAGUAAAGGAGGAGGCAAAGAUUCAAGAUAUGGAGGGUGGGUUAGACCCUUAGAGAGGCUUUAAGUAGAGAGAACCCGAGCUUGACACCCCUCCACUCCAGUCAAAGGGUCUUCAGUUUGAGGCCACAUUUUCAGAGCCAAUGAUGUUUGAGCCGACAUACAUAGUGGGACCAUCUUCUCAGCCAUUAUUCACCUAGCCUCCUCACAUAGAGACAUCACCUCAUCAGGCACCUCACGCUCCUAAUCAUGCGCCUUGGAUGGAUUUAUUUGCUCAGAUUAGCUCACUUGACACUCACAUGGAAGGGCUUGAAGUAGUCAGUGAUACUCGAUUCUACUCCAUGGAGGAUCGCAUGGAUCACUAUCAAAUUGGCUUCACUUCUCAGUUUGAGUAUCUACAGUAGAGAUUUGAGCGUAUGGAGGAUCACAUGAAUCAGCAGCAGGCUGCAUUUGAUCAUCUCCAGCAAAGGAUUAAGCGCAUUGAGAGUCGCCAAGAGAGUCAGCAUGAGGAGAUGAUGGCUUACCUCCGCUCCAUGUUUCCACCUCCACCUCCUCAGCCGUGAUUUCACAGAGACCCCAUUCGUUUUUUUUUUAUGUUGCCAAAUGGGGAGAGAUAUUUAGGAUCUAGGAGACCUACAUGCAUAUCAUUGUCAUAUCAUUUAUUUGGAUUAGGUUAUAUGUUUAUGAUUCGUGUACAUUUGACUUUACCAUAUAUCUGAUAUGUUAUAUGUUUUCAUGACUUACACUGUUUCCUAUUGAAAAUUCACAUGUCUUGAUUAUCUUGGUUUUAAGUUGAUAAAUUUUGAUUGAUUGAUCCAUGAUUGGUUUGAGGGGGAGAUUUUUUCUUCUCCUAGAUAACCAAGGUUUAUCAUCAUAAAAAAUGGGGAGAUUGUUAGCCUAAUGAUUCUCUUAAUCAGGUUUUGAUGAUAACAAACCAUGGUUAAGUGACUAAUUGAUUUAAAUGGUAAAGAAUCCCAGGUAUAAAUUUGAAAAUUCAUCAAAGGACCAAAUGGAUACAAGAUCGAGACUUUUGGAAGACUUUUGAUCAUAUGAAACAAAUGUAAGAUGAUUGCAUGGGUGCACUUAGGUUUUUCAUAUCUUUCCAUGCAUCUUUGAAAACUCGGUUUAUUCUUUAAAAUUAAGAUUUCAUUAAAACUCAAGUUUUAUCAAAUGUACCUUAGGCAAAACAUUUCAAAAUUGGCAUAUUAAUUUACCUAAAGACCUUGCCUAAGUGUUAGAAAAGAAAAGAAGUGAAAAAUAUAGGUUUUUAGGGCCAAAAGGCUUAAUUGGUUGAGGCUCUGGCCAACCGACUCAACCUGUUGCGGAACCAGUCAACCGAUUGCCCUUGAUUGGUCGAGGUCAGGUCGAGAAGUGUCAAAAACACUUUCUCUUUUCCAGUAGCCUUCUCUUCCCGAUUGAAGUUUCCUCCUUCCUGGUCGACCGCUAGCUUGACCAGUUGAGGCUGUUUUUUGCUUUUCUUGGCUCUUGAGCUUAAAAACCUAUAAAUUGAGAGCUCCACUUCAUUUAUGAUAUAGAGAACACUUGCAAUCAAUUGUCUACCAACUUGUUCUUACCUUAAAAGCUCUCAUUUCUUUCUUAGUGCAUUAAAUCCUCACUUGCAUCUCUUUUAGUGCACCCUUGUGAGUCAUCCUAGCUUUGAUUUGUAUUCGAGCUAUCAUUGAGAUAGGUUGAGGGAUUCAUUCUUGUAAAAAUUGAGUAUUAAAGCCUUCAAAAAGUUUGAAUCUUGAAGAGAUUGUGUAAGAGCCCAUUGGAGCCGGAAUCCAAGUGUAAAGGAUUGGAAGCUUGGUUGAAGCUUCAAGCUAGUGGAACCCGCACUCGGUUAGGAGAUUGAGGAGAGUGGAUAUAGGUAAAAAAGUGUCGAACCACUAUAAAAUCCUAAUUUGAAUUCUCUAACUCUAUCUCUUUAUUUUUUAUUAUAUUGUGCUUGAAUUUGUUGUGCGGAAAAAGUUUUUGACAAACUCAAUACACCCCUCUCUUGGGUGUUUUUCUCAUUUAAGUAUAGCAUUUAUUUUCUCAACUAUCAUUAAAGGAAAGUAUAGAUAGACCUUGAUAGGCAACAAUUAGGUCUUAAUUUUUAAAAGAUUGGCACAUUUAAAAGAUUGACCAUGAUCAUGAGAUGUACAAUCAAAGUAAGUUGGAUGAAUGGUAAACUAAGUCUAUAAACUUAUUGAUUUGAGUAAGUAAUCCAUCUGGAAAAUAUGUUCUUGAUUGACUAUAUUUGAACACAACAAAUUUAAGCUUAAUACCACUAUCUGGAUUAGUCCCAUCUCUCUUCCAAAUAUGUUUAAGAGAUAGUGGUAAUGUUUUACAUUGACCUCAUCCUCAAUACUCUAAAGUUUAGGUUACGUUAGAAGCUAGUCCUCAAAGAUAUUUAUGAGAUGUAGGCUAUUGCUAGUUAAGUACUAAAAAGUCAUCUUGAAAGGUAGCUAGGCUACAUAAAAGUGAAAGGCAUGGAAUUCAAUCAUUGAGCUCAAGACGUGAUAAUUAACAAUCUUAUAUCAAGUCAUGUUUUGUCAGAGAAGACUUUGAGUCUUGUUUCGUAAAACUCAUUCUUCUUUUGCACUCUAAUUUCUCUUUUUUCUUUUUUCCUCUCAUCACUAUGCAUUAUUUUAACUAAAGAAUGAGUAUCUUAUAUAGUAUGUUCUAAUGCACAGAACUUGGGAAUUUUUUAGUUUUCUUGGAUAUAAGAUUUCUUAAAAUUUGAAAGAUAUUGUAGUCAAAGGAUAAAUGGUAAAGGAAUAAAUAUGUAAAUUUACUUUAAUUUCAAGUAAUUCUAAGAUUAUUAAGGUUAUGUUUGAUUGAUCGAAUAUAACAUAUAGUAGUAUAUGAUAUGAGAUAAUAAUAUAUGCUAUUAUUAUAUGUUUUGUUGACAAUGAAAUAAGAUGAACUAUCCCAUCAUUUAUAAUAUCUUAUAUAUUAGAAAUCAUAAAUUUACUUUUUUCAUCCAUUCGCUUCAUUUUUUUUAUUUUUUUUUCAAUUUUCUGUAUUACACAUUUUACAAAACAAAAAGUUAUGAUUAAAAAAAAAUUAAAUUUUUAGCUAAAAGAAGAAUUAAAAAAUAUUUAUAAAAUAUACCAUAAAUUAAUACUAAUAUAUGCAUGAUUUAAUAUAGCACUUGAUAUGUACAAUUUGUUUUAAUAUAUUUAACAACAUAAUAUAAUUUUUUUUCUUUAUAAAUUUUAAAUAUUUUAAUCAUGAACAUUAUUAUUAUUAUUAUAAAUUGCACAAUGAUUUACAAAUAAUAUCGAAUAAGUGAGAAAUUUCAAGCUUUUUUUUAAUAGCAACAAUUGUGAUGUAAUAUAAUUUUUAUUUUAAACAAAUAUUAAAUAUUAAAUUGGAAUAUAUUCUCCAUUCUAUUUUUUUUUUAUUUUUUUUGCAAAUCAAAUAUAAACAUCACAUAGAUCAUUGUUUAUAAUACCUUCACAUAUUAUUUUCACAGAAAUGUGAUAUCUAACUAUAUAUAUAUAUAUAUCCUAUCGGGUAAGGUUUGAUAAUUUUGAAGUAUGCAUAUUUUAGCGCAUCAUAUUCAAUCAACCAAACAUACCUUAAAAGUUAUGAGAAAUAAAGUUUGAUGAGAAUUUCAAUCCCAAUUUUAACCAAAAUUUGAAGUAGAAAUCCCAUAUUCAUCAUUUUUUUGGUGAAUUUAUUUUUAAGUUUAAAUGCCAGAAAAUCAAAUAAAAUUUAAAUGGAUUUAAAAAAUUUUAUUAAAUAAACAUAAAUAUGAAUUGAGUAGGAUCCAAUUUACAAAACAAAAUCAUUGAAAUAUGAAAGAUCACAAAUUAAACAAACCAAAACUAAUUCAUGUUUUCAAAAUUUUUAAAAUUGAUAAAAUGUAAAUUAAAAAAGAAGAAAAAAGAGAUAUUAUUGGGCCAGGCUUGGGCCAUCCGAUGAUAGCGGCGAGAUAGAAUUUUGGCUACUUGUCCAAGGCUUUAUAGAUUCCCUCUAGACGAACAGAUUCUAUUGUCCGAAAAUGCCAGUUAGGGGUCCGUUUGGGCAUCGACGCAAACCCUACCAAUCCAAAGCAUCUACUUCGAUGCACCGCUUUUAUUUUAUCUGUAUCCAAACGGGGACUUAGGACCUGCAUUUGGGAUGCAUUUCAUUUGCAUUUGCCCUCGAUUUAGCUUUCCUCCACCUUAUAUAAAUGUAUAAAAACCUUUUUUCCACCCAUUGGACUCCAUUCCCUGCUUCUACCCAACUCUAGGAAAAGCAGGCGCUUUGAGUUGAUCACUAUAGGUAAUCGUUUUCUUAUUUGUGUUUCUCUUUUCUUUGAUUUUGAUCGUUGAACAGGUUUGAUUCUCGGGACUUUGUUUUGAUCAUUUUUGGAUCUGCAAAAACAUCGACCUAUGCUUUUGUCUAAUACUGUUUGAUUUUAUUUUUUUCAUCUAUUGGGUGGAACAGGUUUAUUCGGUGGAUAUUUGCCUUUUCUGUUUGGUGUUUGUUUUCAAUCUGUGUUUUUUUCUGUUUGAUUGCCGAGAAAUGGUGAACAAUAAAUGGAAGUUUGAAUCCUAUCAGUUUUGAACUGGUUAUUGUGAGAUUCCAACUUUUUCUUUUGUUUUCCAACGAUUUCUCAGCAACCAAACGGGCAUGAAGUAUAGAGUUCAUCUUUGAUAUUUAUCUGGUUGUAGAUGUAGAUGAUCCAUAGGCUACUGGAUCAAGAUCUAGGGCUUUAUUGUGGAUAUUUGCUCAUUUUGCUUCAUUCAAUUUUUUAUUUUACCAUGUUUGGAUAGAGAAGAGGUUGAUAUGCAAAUCUGAAAAAAAAAAAAAGAAAAGAAAAGAAAAAAGAGCUGAAAGAAAAGCUGUUAGGAACCAAUAUUAAUUAUAAUUCUCUUUUGCUCAGUGCUUUGGUCCCUGCUUAGCACAGCCUUUCGGGUGCUGGAAAUCACUUCCACUUCCACUUCCACUUCCUUUGACUAUUCAAACUUGCUAUCAAGUCUCUAUUAAUGACUACAUUAAUUAUGUUGUGGCAAGUUUAGCAUUUGUGGGAUGCAUGUUUUAACUUUAGGGCAAGCUUUUUAAGGUUUUUUUAAUUGUAGGUACUAAAUGAAUAUUAGGACAUUUUGUUGUCAUAUUAUAACUUUCCCAAAAUAAUAUUAGGAUUAAGAGAUAUGUGAUAUUUUCUCCUCUCAAUAAUUGUUCACACACUAUAAAUCUUUGAAAGUUGCUUCAUGAUUUGCACUAAUUGUAGAGUGUUACCCUCAUUUUACUAAGAGUUAAAAGGUUUUAAUUGUAGAAACCACUAAUCUUGCAUUUUAUUAAUUAUCAUAUGUGGAAUUCCAAAAUUGGCAAUUAAUUAUUUUUAGAGUUUAUAUAAAUUUUUAGUAGUUUUGACUUUCAAACAGAUAAUAAAAUAUUGCAUUUGUCCCCCUUUUUUACUAUAGUAAUUCAAACUUCGAAAAAAAUUUAAAGAUGUAGCAGGUGGAAUAUGUGUCAAUAUGAACUCCAUUCUUCUUGCUAGCCCUUGAGAACCAGUUCAAUCUGCAUUAGAGACUAAUAGCUUUCAUUUUAUUAAAUUAGAAACACUAGUUUAUGGGUAGACUAUAUACAAUGGAAAGUAGGUCAUAGACCCAAGCACUUAGUGUCUCAUUGUAAUAUACACAAGUUAAUAGAGUGCAAUUAACUUUCUAUAGUGGAAUGUUGAGUCAAUUUCAAAAUUGAAUUAUAAGGGAAUCGAUACUAUCCUUGUGGGUCUUAAUGGUCCUUGCUCGAACUCAUAUAUCUUGAUGAUAUGGUUUAAGAGGGUUGAAUCGGUUUUUAGUUCACUUAUGUACAUAAAGGUGUUUUGAUGAUUGCGAAAGGUUGCACAAAAACUAAUGAACAAUAUCUCUUAACUAUGCUAAUUGAUUAAUUAGUCUCCUAUUGGAUUGUUAAUUAAUUAGGAUUCUUUUAGACUUGAUUAAAUAACUCAAGCCCAAGGUAGGCUCAAGUCUCUUAAGUGUAGAGGGAAGUCUAUAAAUUCCCCCAUAGGGAUUAGGGCUUUAGACUAAUGCCUCUUCCAUUUUUUCCUAUAUGUUUAUAUAGAGAAUCCUAGCCUCCAACCUUUAAAGAUCUCCACCAUCCAAUGCUAAGGCUCAAGGACAAAUGAUUGGGUGGAAAAUUAGUGGGUUUAGAAGACUUUCAACUACUACCGUGCACUCGACAAUGUUCUUGAUUGCAAAGAUCAAUUCUAGGAACAUUCGAAUUUUCGAUAAGCACUUCUAACCCGUAAUACUAGUUCCUAUUAAGUUUUGAAUGUUAUUGUUUCCAUUGUGCAUAAGGAUCUAGUGGCCCUAGGAAUAGUUGCAUACACCAAAUGAGAUUCAAGGCUUGAGAACAAAGUAAUUUGGGAUUCAUAAAAACUAGUUCAUAAAAGUUGUGUCUUUAAUGUUUCUCUUCUACACACAACUAUAUUUUUUCAAAUUUUCUUACUAAGCAAAUAGAUUCUAAAUCAUAUGAGACCAAAUCAAGUAAGACUUAAUGCUUUGAAUUCUUUAAUGGAUCUACUAAUUUUUAGAGUUUGCAAAGUAUAUAUAAACUUGGUUUAUUUAGGUAUUAAAAAAAUUGAAAAUUUUCUUGUUUUUAAAUAAAACUUGGCUUAUAUGAUAUUAAGAAAUUAUGAUUUUUUUUUUCAAUACAUUUCAAAUAAAAAAUUAUUAACCAAAAAAAAAAAAAAUCAAUUAUACCUUUAUGAAAAUGUUAAUAUUCAUAUUUCAUAAUAUAUACUACAAUAAUAUAUUUUUAAAAUAUAUAUAAAUUUUUUAUUUUAUUGUAAUAUUAAUAUUCACAUUUUAAUAAAAACUAUUUAUUUGUUUAUCGAUUUGAAAUUACAAUUUUUUUUAAUAAGACUUGAAUUAAAUUUAAUUAAUCUUAUAAAAAUUGAAUUAAUAUCUUAUAAAAUCAAAAUAGAAAAUAUUAUUUUUAAAAAAACUCAAAAAAUUAUCCAAACAAUUUUUUAUUUUAUUUUUUUCUCUUUAAAAAUGUUUUUAAAAAACACCUUUAUUUUUAGAAAAUACCAAAAGACUAUUUUUUGUUCUUUAACUUAAUAUAUAUAUAUAUAUAUAUAUAUAUAUAUAUAUAUAUAUAUAUAUAUAUAUAUAUAAUAAGUUCUUAAAAAAAUGCCAAAUAGACCCUUAGAUAUUUUUUAUAUAUACAAUAUUUAUGUUGGAAUUAAGCCCUAGAAAGGAUAACAUGAUGUAAUAGAUAUAGAUGCAUUUAUAAACUUAUUUAUUUUUGUUUCUUGGUUUCCUUUUAUUAACCCAUUUGCAUUAAUUGGUUAUUUGAGCAUUCAUGCCCCACAUCACUCAUAUUGUACAUAGUUUGGGUGUAUUAGGAGUUGCACAGAAGAUUCAAAUCAUAGGUUUCUUGUAGAGUGAUGAGUUGUUCAUUGUCAGUUUAUGGAUUUGGGUAAUCCAUCUGAAACUGUAAUAUACUACCUCCUAAUUAGAGGGAUGAUUUGUCUUGACCGUUAGGAUGGUUUUUACAUGGUGAGUGCACUAGUGUAUGUAAUGCGCAUUGGAUAGGACCUAUGGUGAAUCAUGACGUAAGGUUAUUAAUUAUCAUGAUUCACCAAGCUACUAUAUUGUAUGGACCCUUAACUUUGAGAGGAUAUUGAGUUUGUACCAAAGUCAACAUAAGACUUUGACCUAUGAGUGAGAUCCUGAGGGAGUCUUAUAUCCCUAUGUAUUGGGUCACAAUCGAUGGAAAAGUUUUCUAAAAAAAGGCAUCAUGAUAUCUCAUGGAUUGAGAUAGUGUGUUCCCUUGGGUGACAUAUUCCCUAAAAUACUAUAGUCAUAGCAUUUUUUUUAAUAGAAAUUUGACAUAUCUUCCUUGGAGUUAGAGUAUGUCAAUUGAUCAUAUAAUAAAUGAAAUCUAUAACUCAACUAUUAGAGAGGUAAUCUUGAUAGGUGAUAGCACUAUCUUAUUAAAUUAUGGACACCAAUUCAUGGGGAGUCUGCAUGUAGUGGAUAGUAGGUCACAAACUCAAGGUACGUCUCAUUGUUAUUUAUAUAAGGUAUUGAAGUAUAAUUGAUUCUCUUUAGUGGAAUGUUGAAUCAACUUCAAAAUUGGAUUUUGAGGGAGCCAAUACUCCUAUGGACGACCCCCCCCUAGUUCCUAUUCUAAGCUCAUAUACCAUGGUGACAUAGUUUAUGAGGGUUAAAUUGACUUUUGGUUUACUCUUGUGCAUAAGGGAAUUUUGGUAAUUGUGUAAGGCUACACAAGGGAUGGUAAACAAGUUAUUUGAAUUAAGCUAAUUGAUUAAUUAGAUGACUUUAUAUGGUUAAUUAAUCAAUUAAAACCCAUUUUAGAUUAAAUUAAGUGACCAAUCUUUGGUAGGCUCAAGUCACUUAAGCUUAGUAGGGGAACCCUAUAAACACCCCUUUAGAGGUUAGGGUUUCCUUCACUUUUGGAGAGAGAAUCGUCUUCCACCUCUAAAAAGAGAAAGCUUAGGAUUCCUCUAUCCAAAGCCCACACUUUAGAGUGUCAAGAUCGUGGUUCGAGUCAUCGAGCAAAAGAUCUUAGGUGUGCGAGACUUUCAAAUUCUUUGUUCUUCAUUUUCAUCGAGCAAAAUUGAUUUAGGAAUAUCUAAAUCAAAGGUAAGGUUUUUUAAUACUUUUCCUUUUGAUCCUAGAUUCAUAAAAAUAUGUUUUUUUUUUUUUUUUUUUUUUGCUUCCAUUGCAUAGGAUCUAGAGGCCUAAGGUAGUUUGCAUACACCUAUAUGAUCAAGGUAUGGUAAUGGAGAGGUCUAAGGUUUCCAACAAUUUACUAACUAUUUCUUCAUGUUCUUGGUCAUAGAAGUCUUGUAUUUCUACAAGUUGGAGUUCACUCUACUAUGUUUAUGAGCUAGAUACGUGUGAUUUGCCUUGUUUUUUUGCAUUGGACUAAGGUUUGGUUAAUAUCAUAUUAUGAGGAUAACAAAACAAGGCUUGAUUCUAAAGUUCUUCUUUAAUUGUAAUUGACAAGAAGAUUCCCUUGGAGUAAUCAAGAAAAAAACUAUAUGAAGUUGAAGAGGAAAUAAAAAACAAGAUUUAUCAUGAUUAUUUUUAGGUUCAUUUAUGCAAGAUUAUGGGUAUUCUAAGUUAGGAUUGCAUAUCAUUUAUUUAAACAUUCAAAACUCAUCUAAUUGAACUCAAACUUACCUUAAAUUUCAAAAUUGGAUAAAAACUUUUUUAAAUGAAAAUCACCUUUGUAAUUGAUGUAUAAAACGUUUUCAAAGUCAUAAGGAGUUUGUUUAGGCUUUCCCUAUUGUUUUUAAGCUAAAAAAAUUGAAGUUUUCAUAGAAUCUUGGAAAAUUAGAUCAAUAGGUGGAUCUAUAGAUGGUUGAGGAGCAUAUUGACCUAUGGUCAAUCUAUUGAGGGGAUUUGAUCUCCAAUCUUGGCGUUGGCUACCAUUUGAGGUUGAACUUCAACUAAACAAUCUUAACAAUGGUUCCCUUUGAUUUCAAUAGGUUAGUUUGGUUCUCAUAAAAUACUAAGAAAAGAAGAAAAAAAAAUGUUAAAGAAAAUUAUUUUCUCCUUUUUGGUUGUACCAUGUAAAAUAUGAAAAUAUGUAUAUAUCUAUAUAUAUAUAUAUAAUUAAAAUAAGUUAAAAAAUUAUGUAUUUUCAAAUUAUUUAAUUUUUAUAUGGAGGAGUUAAAAUAAGUGAAAUAAAUUUGAAAUAUCAUAUAAAAAUAAUUUAUUAACUUUAAUUUUUGUUUUUUUUUAAAAAAAAUUCUUUAUUGUUUCUUUCUUCUAUUUUUCCUCUCUAUUUUCUUUUCCUUCAAAAUUUUCAAGAAUCAAACAUAGCCUUAAGUUCAUUUAACUUUCUAAAUAAACAAUCUAGCUUUUCUAGGUAUUGAUCAAUCAUCUUCCUAUGACAAGUUUUGACAACGAGACAUACUUGAGACCAGUAAUAACAUUAGCCUUAGAUAGAGUGUUGUCUUAUACUUUUUAAGUUAUUUAAACAUGAGAAUGAAUGAGAAAAAUAAUAAGAUAUCCAUUACUAUUCCUUAUUUCCUUGUAUCAAACACGCCUUUAGGGUAAAACUCUCAUAAAAUAAUAUUCUUAGGGUUGAGAACCAAAAGAAAAUAGUCUCAUUAGUUUCUGAGUAUCAUUACCCAAUAAUAUGGCUAAUUAACAGUAAAAAAAAGGUCUUCAAUAAUCAACCCUAGAAGCUCAUUGAUUCCUAUUUUGAUAGACUAAUAUAUUUCGUAAGAGGAAACAGUUUAAACAGACAUGCCUAACUAACGAUGAUCGUACUCCUAGAAAAGGAGAAAAGGAGAACACAAAACAGAUUGAGAACCCAAACUUUUCUAGUUGACCAAGCACUGUUUCACCUCUAGGUGUUUAACCAAAUUUCAAAGCCUUCAAUCACCAAGCUAGGUAACUUCAACUCCAGCAAUGUCUAAAAUUUGAUUGUACAUCAUUGUUGAUCUAUGAUUAAAAAAAGAAACAAAAACAACAAAAAGCACCAGUUUAGAUUUUAGUAAAGUCCACACAAAGAAGGCAACAACGUUAAAAGACAUUACAUAUGUGCCUAGGGCACUUGGGUUCUGCUAAUUCAACUCAGCUACAUGGGUGAUUCUGCCAAUCCUAUUUCUAAAUUCCUAAAACAUGUUACAUGAUCCAACUUACUCUUUUAGGUUCUGCUACUAAUCAUAUUACUGCCGGAGCUGCAUCUCUGUCUCACUUUUCCAAGAAGCAUGAGAUGACUGCCCUUUCAUCCUCUUGUUCUUCUCCUUUUCUUUGAUGGUUGAUCCCUUCUUCUUGUCAGUCUCUUUAUUUGCAUCUGCAAGUGGGCGAUCCCCACAUUGUGGGCAGACCAUUCCUCGCUCACUGGAGUAUGUCUUGGGUAUUCCACAUCGCAUACACAUCCUACAACCAAAACCAGAAUUGAGAUUGAUAGGUUGAUAAAUAGCUAGAUAGAUGGGGUUGUGUUCAUUAACUUGGGCUACCCAUUGACAAAAAAGCAAUGAUGAUGCACCUCAGAAGUUCAGCAGCAUCUUCUGCAUUAGGAUUAGCAGCAGUUGCCACCCGCUUCCCUUCCCCUUGUGUUGUGCUCAAAGAACCCUUUGGAGGUUGAACUGAUGAUUUUGGAGCAAGGUUACCCUCAAUAUCACUUCUCACUCUCUCAUGAUCUAAGGGAUAACAUUAAAUCAAGACAAAAACCAUUUUCUUACAGAGGAACAAAACAAUAAAUUGAGACAGAAGCGCAUAAGAGCUGAAUCUAUCUCUCAACACCGAAAACAUAUGGUCAAUAGUUUGAAACACAUAAUUCUUAGGAAUUUAAAACCCAUAAUUAGUCUGGGCAAUGGAUUUUAUUUUUUCGCGUUUUUCUUUAUCAUUUUCCCCAGCCUGAAUGCCUUCAACAAAUUAGCAGGUGAAGCAACACUAUCAGAAAUAUGCACCACACUGAAGAAUCCCAUCAAUUCUGCCAUUGCAAAGGAAAUAUUUGGUGAGAGAAGAGCUAGAAGAUUGUGCAGCAACUGCAUCUCAUGUGGAAAUUUAUGACUUACAAGGAAAGUAAUGGGAAUGGUGCACUUUCUGAGAUUCAGAAUUCUAGAACAGAUGUGUAGACCCCCAUUUGGGGCUUCAUCUCUCAGGCAGCCUGUUUUGACAAGUGUCGCAUUCCCAUAGGGCCACGUGUCGCCUCGUGGUUGGUGGUCAUAGAAUCAGAUAGUGGAAUUGAGGAACGAGUGAGAGUUUGACACGUGGCAUGGAGAUAUUCUGGCCGUUAGUGUGGAGCGUAUAUUUUUCUGUUAGAGGAGAUUCGUUGACAGGAAGGAGGUGGCCUUUUGGGUGCAGAGAUUGGCUGGUUACUAAAGGGGAUUCUAAAGAGAGAGUGGAGGCGGCGUUUCUGUGACAGAGUGGGGUGCUUUUUGAGAGGCUGGCUGGAGAUAUUUUGCAGGGAUUCUGGCAGAGCUAGAGGAGAGGAGACUGAGUGGAGGCGGCGUUUCUGUGACAGAGGGGGGGGGUGCUUUUUGAGAGGCUGGCUGGAGAUAUUUUGCAGGGAUUCUGGCAGAGCUAGAGGAGAGGAGACUGAUUUUCUGAGGUUGCUGGAGAGAGGAGUACGUUUCUGUUGUGGAGGAGCGUAUGAGGGAGAGAACCAGAGAGGGAGAACAUAGAGGUUUGAGGCUGCACAGGAGGGAGUUUUUCAGGGCUGUUUGACAGAGAUUUUGGGCGUGUUUUUGGCUAGCUGGAGCUGGAGAAGGAAGACGGCAGAGCACAGAGGAAAACCAAAGAGAAAUUAAAAGAAAACAGAGGGAAGAAAACGAGCAUCCUCAGGUACGUUAGCUUAACCACAUUUUGCUUGCCAUUGAUAUCUUUUGGGGUUGCUGUGACUAUGUGAUAAUGUAUCCAUGCUUUGUUCUUCAUAGAAAAUUUGUUUUAGAAUAAUCUGAUUCCUUUAUAGCUCUCAUUUGAAUGUUUGAGUCACAUGUUUGAGAUCUUAGUUCCCCCUGUUUUUUUUCCCACCCAUGUAUAAGCCCAUUGACUCCAGCAUGAAAUGGAGGUCGGGUCAGUGUUUUCUUUGGUUCAGUUGAUACUCUAUUUUUGUGCUUGCUCCCUUGCUGUUCAUGCUCUGUUCUCGAUGGCCAUUCAUACCCCUCCAAGGAGAAGAGUUUUUGGCCAGCAUUGCCUUGAUUUCUUUAUGGGCACAGUUUCUGAGCUUGGGUAGCAGUUGUUUCAUUUGUUCGUGAGAUUGCUGGGUUAUUUUGCUCAAAAAGAUUGGUGACGGCCAAAAAUCAGGGCAUUAGUGUUAUCUUUUGACUGUUGGUGGUUCAGGGUACAUAUUUGGGUCUUAGCAAGGGGCAAUGUUAUCUGCUAGUCAUCAGAUAUGAGACGCUAGCACUUUGAGAGCAUGGGUUGGAUGUUUAGCCAAGAGUGUUAGCAGAGAAGACGGGUGUUGUAGAAAAAUUGAAUUCACCUGAGGAGAGAGGAAAGUAUCCAAAAGCAGAAUCAAUUUAUGUACAGAUGUUUAUGGGGAUGGGCAACAUGUCAGCAAAUCAAUGGAUUAAUAGACUACUAUAAUACAUCCACUUCAAGAGAUUGGACUGGACGAGUGAAGAGCUUUAAAGCUGCAGGUAGCACUGGGGAUGGAUUGAUGCCUAUACUCCACAAAUUAGCACCUCCGGUGGCAUUAUUUUCUGCUCGGGGACCCAAUAUAAGAGGUUUCAACUUCCAAGAUGCGGAUCUUCUCAAACCAGAUAUUCUAGCUCCAGGUCCUCUCAUUUGGGCUGCCUGGUCUCCAAAUAGAACGGAUGAGGCCAAUUAUGUUGGGGAAGGGUUUGCAAUGGUCUCUAGAACUAGCAUGGGCAGCCCACACCAAGCUCCAAUAACUGCUUAGCUUCUGGUCCUGGCUUCCUGUGCUUCUCUUGAAGGGUGAAAUGAUAGCUUUGCUCCAUAUUCCUUCAGAUCCAUUGAAGAACCUCCACAGGAUUAUGGGUAUUCUGGAGUAUCACGCUGACUACUACUGGAAGGUGGGUAUGCUGCCAAUAUUCCUCUAUCGAUUGAGGUUCAAUGCCACUCUCAAGGUUAUGGGAACUCACGUGGCUAUUACUGUAAAUGGAUCAAACUGCCACUUUGAACUGAAUGUAUUCAAGUCAGUGAUUGCUAGUGGUUUCCCAAUAUCGAUCAGGUUGCUAGGUGAUGUAUCCGCUUUUUAGGAAGAGAGUUGUUGAAAGAUGGGCAAUGAUGACAGGAGAAGAAGACGACUGUAGCAGCAGGUUUUUGAAGAAGCAUCUCUUUGAGAAUUUGUUAAAGCAUCCAGAGUUCAUGACAAAUACUAAAUUGGCUAUAAGUGAAACAUAUCAACAAGCUGACAUGAUUUUUGUCUGGAUACUGAAAGAGAUACUUACCGAGAUGAUGGUUCUACUGCUCCCACAGCAGUGCUUGUUGGUAACCAUCUCUAUGUUGCCAAUGUUGAAGAUUUGAGGGGAUCACCAGCGAAUAAAGUGCAACAUUUCCCUGUUGAGGAUGUUCCUCCAGUUCUUCUAUGUCAAGAUACCCAUCAGAUCUCCUGGACAGGAAUCAGUCAUCUCGUUUGUCAAACUUUGGUGGAUCACAAAUUUCAGCACACUAUAAUCCUUAUGCAUCUACUCUUGAACAGGCACUUAGCUCCAAAUUCAGUUCUAAUGUUUUCAGACAAGAGAGGACCUGCGAGCAGGAGAAACCAGCCUUGAAGAGGAAGAACCAGAGAGUGAAGGAAAUCCCACCUGGCUCGUAAAGCUGCAUGAGAUCCCAACCCAUUGACAAAGAACCAAGUCAUACUCGGACCAUAUGCCAAGGACCCUAGUUGGAUCGCUCAUAAUGGUUGCUUUCAAUGCGAGAAGGGAUAGGUCAUCAGAGUUGAAAGAAGAAGAAAGCAUCUUAGUGAGGGCAGCAGAAUAAUCCCUGCGCUGAUAGAUGGCAGCGCGCUACUGGUUUCCGAAAAGAAGAGACGACGUUGGAGUGCAUUCCUACAUGGGUGGUGGCGGCUAUCUGCACCGUCAUUGUCACCAUUCCUCCUACUGUCAAGCGCCUGCCGCACUUUCUUGACAAAUACUUGAAGAAGUCCAGAUGUGGAAGGGCGUGACACUUUUUGAGAGAGAAUUGGAGGAGCCAGAGCCAACUAUUGCGUGGAUACUAUCCAGCGACUUGAUUCCCCCCAGCUCUUCGAUUCCUGGCUUGACUGCAUCAAAGAGGGUCAAACGGAAGUGGAGUUUGAUUGAUGGCACCAGGGGUCAGCAAGUUGGUUCUUCACUGGCUCUUGGGCUAGGGCGUUCAUCAAGUCCCUCAGACAACAAAGGGAGUUCAGCCACUGCUUGCACUACAAUGCCCUCAGCCAAAGAAAAUGAAGAAGAGUCCUCUACAAACCCUGAAUUGGACUUCACUCUGCGGCUUGGCAACGAACAAACACCCAGCCCAAAGAAAUAUGCUGACUCAAGUCUGAAAGCACUGGAACUGCAGACAGGUAUUGACCUGGAGUUGAGUCUCUCUACUGGGCCUGCCGAAUCCGAUAUCACUAGUGUCCAUGCAAGCUCUACUCUACUCCGCAAUGCCAUAGAUAUGCCAUUGAGAGUUGCCAGAGUUGUGCAUCUAGAUGAAGGCUCAACAUCAUAUCCAUGGAAACCAGGGACUUCUUCGUCAUUUCCAUUGAUAAAACCAUGGACACUAGAUUACAUUCUUACUUGAUUUUCCUUCAUAACCUUUCCACUUGUGCGUCAAUGUAUGGCCACCUAUGCAUGGCCACCUUUGACCCGAGUGCUAUCUUCCUUUUUACCAUCUUUAACUUAUUAAAAUCACUUUCCAAAUCCUUUUUUUCUUCAAAUAAGUUCCCGGGUUUUAGUUUUUAAAUAAUCCCAACUUCAAAUUUUCCCAUCCUUAGCAUUUUUCUUAAGUUCCAAAAAUCCGCUUUUUAAUAAAAUAGAUUGCCAUUUUCUCUUCGGCAAGUCUUCUUCACAUUUUCUUCGUCUUUUUUUAUGUUUUGAAAUAAAAGUGAAUUUAAAUUCCGUAAUUCUAAAUAAUGGAAUUUAUGGAAUUAAUUCAUGCAAAAAUAAACGAGCUUUGGUGGGGGCCCGACAUAAGUGAUUCUAUAAUUGAUUGAUUAAUUGAUCGAUUUAAUUGCCAUGUAUGAUUGAUUUAUCCUAUUCUCUAACGUGCAUGCUAUUAUCCCUAAAUUGUGCACUAACUCUCUCUUUUGGUAGCACUUGGUGGCUCGUUGCCCAGGUACAUACCCACUUUCACUCUGGUCACCCUAUAUACAUGUAUUGAUUCUCACGCGUGCAUGAUUGAUUCGAGUUUUCAUUGAUUUCCUUAUUAGAUGUCAUAGUUGCUUCAUUUCAUUAGUAGAGACCCGACUUUAGGGACUUAAAGGGGUGUUACAGUCUUUAUCGUACCUUCCCAAUAAGUAACCUGACCCCCGAACUCGAUCUAGUUUUUCAUAGACCAUCUUUUCCAAAAUAAAGAGUCACACUUAGGGUUUUUCUUUUUUAUUUUGUUUACCCUUUAAAAAUAAAAUAAAAAUAAGUGGCGACUCCAAGUCAUUUUCUUAAUCAAUAAAAAUCAUUUUUUAAAUAAAAAUCGAGCUCGCCAUCGAAUGGGAAACGCAUGAGCUGAAAAUGCGGGGUCCACAAAAUGAUUUGAUUUAAGGCAUCUGAUGACAUUUUCCGAGAUUCAGAAUUCUAGAACAGAUAACUGAUUUAAGGCAUCUGAUGAUAAUUUGAAUUUCCAACACCCCAAAUCUCAAUCAGACAUAAAGCCCCAUAGUGUAUGAUUUAUUAUAUUAAAGGCUUUGAUGUAGCACAUCCCUCAACUGUUGAGCAAGGCUGCUUAUAAUCAAACAACAUUCUGGUUGAACUACAGUUGUACAUGUGAGAUGUAGAUGAAAACAAAGUGCACGAGUAGAUAACGAUAUGAGUGGUUAUGUCCUUUUAAGUGGUUUAAGGAUUGAAAAUAAAUGCACAAGCUUGUUGAAUUUCUGGACAAGCAAGGAAGAAGAUUAAAGAGUUUGGUAAUGGAGUAAAAAUAGGGAAAAGGUUUCUGAUUGAAGGUAGGGCUUCAGAAUAAAGUGCACCAAGUGGUGCUGGUUAUUUGUAGAGCAGGAUAUAUGGACAGCUUACCAUAAAAAUAAAUAAAUAAAUAAAUCAAGAAGAAAAGCAAAAGAAGAAGAUAGAAAACUUUCCAUAAGCCCAGUUAUCAAACCCAUCUCCUACUAAAAUUUAGAGACUUCCGAAAAAAAAGGAAUAAAUUAUCUAAUAACUACAUAAGAGCAUCGUAUCCACUAUGAAAGGUGGAUCCUUCAAUUUCACCAAAAAUAGCCGUAUUGACAUGAAAUGACAUGAGUGUGGGUGUAGUAUCCUUGUUGGAUACUCCUAUUUUACUUUAGAAGUGACUGAUUUUUUUUCAUUGAUAUCAUUUUAUUCUUUCAACUUUAUUGUUAAUAAUCAUAUUAGAGAAAAAGAAGAGUUAAUUGAAAAGUGAAUUAUUGAAAAAAAAAAUGAAGGAUAAGAGGAAAAAAAAGAAAUUAGAAGGAAAAUAUCACAGCUUUUAAAAAUAAUAUCUUCACUUCAUAUUUAUUCUUAAUUGAUUUUUCUUUUAUUAUGUCAUAUCCUAUAAUAGUGCCCCUUUCUGGAUCUUUUAGUCGAGUCCUCAUAUCCUAAAAUUGGUGAAGGAUCGGACACUUAGACACAUACCGGUAUCUGACAAUCAUACUUACAACCAUGCAACAUAGCUUAUCCAAAUAAAUAAACAGGGUGAACGAUGCAAAACAUUUUUAAUAUUGAAAGUGUAAAUUUUUCCAAAUCCGAGGAGCCAGGUAGGGUGAACGAUGCCCCAACUAGAGGUACUCUAUCUUGCGCUACCUAUUAUGGGAACCGUUGGUUUGACAGACCAACCCCCCCAGGAUUUCCUUUCCUUUUAGGCAAUUUUAUAGAUUUUUUAUUUUUGGUUCUUUUGAUAGGCAAACUAAGGCACAAGGAAAUUAAAAGGAUCAAUUUUUUACAUAUACCAAGUUCAGGUAACUAAAUCAGCCAAACAACAUUAUUUAAUACCAUAAUAUCUUUGGCUUGACAUUUCAAUGACUGUUACCACUUUUCAAAUCAAAUCCAAUUGCAAACAACAUAUUCAAUUCCCCGUCCAAAUGAAUAUCAAUGUAAAUUAGACAACUCAUCCAAGACCUUUACAGAACUGCCCCAGAAACCAGGUAACAUCAUCCAACAAUAUUGAAGAUGGUUCACUAAACCAUCAGUCAUCACUUCCUCUGAAUCAAAAGAACGAUUUAGAGAAGCAAGAUGCAGCUAAAUCUUAUAACAGCAAAGUUUGGGGCAUAGCUGGAGACAAUAAAUUGAGAGGUUAUGGUUGGUUCCCAAAAGAUUUAGGAGAAAAUGUGAGGGAAAAAAAAUAUAGAAGAAAAAUGAAAGAAAAAGUGAGAAAAUAAAAUUUAAAAUCAAUAAAUUAUUUUUUUCUAUUAUUCCAAACUCAUUUCACUUAUUUUAACUUUUUUAUAUAAAGAAAAAAGAAUUUACAUACGAGUUUUUAACUAUUUUAUAUUUUAUUUUCUUUCGCAUUUUCCAUUACAAUAAAACCAAAUACGAGAAAAUCAUUUUCUUUAAUGGUUUUUUCAUUCUUUAAUACUUCCCUAGAAUCAAACACAGUGGGGAUAUCCCGGGAAAGUGAGAAAAGUGACUUAAUCAGCUUAUUUUGGGCUCUCUGUGAAAGAUAAAGAACACUAAGAGAAAUUUAAAAGAAUCAUGUGUUAAUAAAAUAUUAAAUUUGUUGUACAUUGAGAUAGAUCAAGCAAGAAAUGCUCACACUACUAAUUUGGCAAACCAAAAAAGAUCAAGCAAUUAUAAAUUUAUCAAUAUUCUGCAAGAAAUUAAGGACCGUUUAGUGCUUGAAGUGACAAUAAUUUGUUUUCAGGAAUAGAGAAAAUGAAAAAUGACACAAAAACAUAAUUAGUACUUGUUUGUAUACACACCUUGUUUAUUUUUUUCAAAAAUAGAAAAUGGUAGUGUAGAUCCCCAAAUUGGGAUAUAUUUAAAGCAUUUUUUGCAAUUAGUUUUUGGCCAGGUGUCGCGCGCUUAGGCAGCCACGUGUCACUCCCGGAUUGGCUGUUGAAGAUUCAGAUGGACUUUUGAGGAACCAAUAGAAGCUUGACAAAGAGAAAAGAAAAAUGGAUGAAAAGACCGUGAGAAGAGAAACAGCUGGGGGCUCUGAAGCUGCAGGGGAGGCAGAGCUUUCUGGGCUGGCGGCUAGAGAGAGAUGAUUCAGGAAUAGCAGCGAGUGAGCUUUUUCUGCCAUCGGGAAGAGUGAGCAAAGGGGAGGUGAUUUGAGGUGGCUUCCUGGCCGUAAAGAAGGGAGACAUUUUUCAGCUGCAGAGGAGGUCUCUUUCCUAGGGGGUUGGAGGACUUUUUGGGGAAGCCAGAGGUUUGAACUUUCGGGAGAGGCCAGCUGUUGCAGGCAGGGAGAAAAAUUCAUUGAGAGAGUCGAAGCUCGGUUCUUGUGGUUUAAGGAGUCCAGGCCACUAGUAGCUUGCGGAGGAAAAGGAAAACAGAGGAAGAAAAGAAGAAGGAUCUUAGGCGAGAGGGUUGGCUGAGGAAGACACAAACUGAGAAAGAAGCGGGCUGGGAAGGUUUUUUUGAGAAGGGACUUUCCAGGUACGAACCCCAUAUUCACCAUUGUCCCUGUUUGUUAUUUUCUCUACUUUGUCUCCAGAUAUUAUUGUUUGUUUCAGGUAUGUAUAUCAGGCCAUAUUGUUAGCUUUCCUUGAUCUCUAGAAUAACCAUGGAUUUAUGAUCAUUAUUUUAUCAUCUUUCCCUCUUGGUUUUGUUGAAGAGUAAGCCGACUAUGUUUUUAGCUUCACUAUGAAAUAUCUCAGCAUUCAUUCCCAUAUAUUUGUAUGAACCUAUGGUCGUUCAAUCCGUUAGCAAGCUUGUUGAAUGAAGCAUGAAACGGGCUUUGCACGUUUUUUUAUUUAUUUAUUUUAUUAUUCCCAUUUUUGGUACUCUAUUCUUGCCGUUUCCUCUGUUACUGGAGGUGCAAAUGUCCCUGCAAUGAAUGAUCUUUUGGCACCAUUUGAGAUUGUUUUUGGAAGAUGAGACACCCAAUGGUGAUUUUUCUAUUGACCCAACCAAGGAAGACGUGAAGGAGACCUUUUUUUUUAACGGGACAUGAUGUCUCUCCUCUCGAUUGCUAUGCUGGGAAUAACAGAGUCCAAAUGAAGAUCCCAAGGGUAUUAUGUGCUGAUGGCAUUUGUGUUUUUUUAUGCUCAGUUUGUUGUGGGCAUUCCCUGCUUGCACGUGAUGCAUGCAUGCAUGGCCAUAUGGAACAUUUCAUCUUCCAUCUUCUCAAGAACCCAUCAUUCAUACCCAUUUCAUAAUUCCUAUUCACCAUAUUCCCAUGAAAACAUCUCACCAUUUUCCCAUCACCUUCAUGUCUAUAUUCCUAUUACUCAUAUUAUAUGUUCCACCGCUUCUCGUUUUAUAUCCCUCAUGCCUCAUGCACCACCUCUCACAACCAUUUCAUGCAUACCCAUUUCCCACUGACCAUUUCCUUCUCACCACCUUUCUCUCACUAGCUCGUUCCAUAUCACUCAUCCCAUGCAUGCACCCAUAGCCAUCAAACCCAUUGUUUCCUACCCAUUUUCCUUCCCAUCACCCUUUCUCUCACUAGCUCGUUCCAUAUCACUCAUCCCAUGCAUGCACCCAUAGCCAUCACCCUUCAUACCCAUGCAAACCAUCCAUUUUCAUACCCGGCUGCCCACCAUACCCAUGCUAUGCUCAUCUCCAUGGGAAUCCCAAAGUCACCCACCUACAUGCAUGGGAAUCGUGCAUGCAUGGCCACCCCCCAUGGUUGCCAUUCAUCAACACAUACCCAUGCUAACCUCCAUGAUUUAUUUACCACGCAUGAUCGUUUUGCUAUAUUCCAUGAUAUGUAUAUAAUCAUUCUGUGUUUAUUCACUAACCCCAUUCCAUGAUAGCGCAUUGUUGUUUGCUGCCCAGGUACGUAUUCACUCAUUCUGAUCAUUAGUUAUUCAUAUUCUGAUUCUCAUAUGUGCAUGAUAGUUCCGGGUAUUCACUGUUUUUCCUAAUCGAUUGCCAUGUCUGCUUCAUUUUAUUAGUAGAGACCUAUUUUAGGGGCUUAGAGGGGUGCUACGGUCUUUACCGUACGUUCCCGACAAGUAACCUGACCCCCGAACCCGAUCCGGUUUUUCACAGACCACCUUUUCCAAAAUAAGGAGUCACACUUAGGGUUUUUCUUUCUUAUUUUGUUUACCCUUUAAAAAUAAAACAAAAAUGAAUGGCGACUCCAAGUCAUUUUUCUUAAUCAAUAAAAUCAAUUUUUCAAAUAAAAUCGAGCUCGCCUUCGAGUGGGAAACGCAUGAGCCGAAAUACGGGGUCCACAGGUAGUAAUUUUCAUGUAUAAGAACUCUUCGAGACUUGCCUUAAAAAGAUGAUAACUUAAAAAACUGUUUAAACCAUUUGAGAUAUUAAAAAAAAUUUACUACCUCAAAUUUUAAAAAUUUUGAAGAAUAUAAGGUAAGUUCAUAAUUUUUAUAUAAGAGUUAAGUUUUUAUUUUUUAUUUUUGAAAUUAGAAAAUAUGAAAUGUAUCCAAACAAGCAAUAGGUAACACACUUUUAACAACUUUUUCAAAAACAUAUCCUAAAAUUGGUGCAAUUUUAGUUGCCCUAUGUUUGGUUAUUGGAAAUUUGAAGGAAAUGAGAGAGAAAGAAAAUAAAGAGGAAAAAAAAGUGAAAAAAAUAGAAUUAAAAUUAAUAAAAAAAUCAAACACGAGAAAAUCAUUUUUUUUUAUCAAUUUACUUGGGUUACAUUUGGAUCCUAGAAAGUAUGGAGGAACGAAAAAAAAAUGCUAAGGAAAAUAGUUUUCUCAUGAUUGAUUUCACUAUGGGAAAUAUGAAAGAAAAUAAAAUAUAAUUCAAAUUAGUUAAAAAUUUGUACAUUUUAAAAUUAUUUAAUCUUUAUAUAAUAGAGAAAAAUAAGUAAAAUAAAUUUAAAGAAACAUAUAAAAAUAAUUUAUUGACUUUGAACCUAUUUUUUAUUUAUUUUUAGUUCUUCUUUCCUUCCACUUUUCCUCUCGAUUUUCUUCUCCUUAAAUUUUCCCUCAAACUUUCCAGGAACCAAACAUAACCUUGGUAUUUUGCUAGAAUCAAAGAUAGCCUUAAAACCCUAAAACUUAUAUAUAAAAGUUUCAAGAAACAAGAAAUUUAACAAUAGAAACCAAUCUAGAAACAAACAUGUCCACCAUUCAAAUUUUCAAAACCAAGCAAACCUGAAUGUCCGACGAUCAGGUAGGAAAUGAACCAACCACAUUGAUUCCAAGGUCUAAUAAAAUCUCCAAUCAAAGAUGAAAGAACUUUGGACUAAAAGAAAUACCUAGAACCUGUGAUAAAAUUCCCACUUAUUUGCAGCAUGGGAAAAAAAGGAAAAAUUUUAAUCAAAAUUUCCACUUGUUUGCUGAAAAUACAUGGUACCAGAAAAGAAAUCAAGAAAUUGCAAUGAAAAUUCCCAUUUGGUUGCUGACAAAACAUGGGCAAAUGAAAGGAACUGAGAAGCUGUAAUCAGAAUUCAAUUUGUCGCUUAAAAAGGCAUAGAAAAAGAAAAAAAAACACGAGACUGUAAGAAAAAUUAUCACUUCAUUUUUCAGAAAAUGUGGAGAAGAGAAAAUAAAACAUCAAAUAGUAAUAAAUACAUACAUACAUACAUAUAUAUAUAUAUAUAUAUAUAUAUAUAUAUAUAUAUAUAUAUAUAUAUAUAUAUAUAUAUUUAAGCGUAUUUCAAAAAAGUCCUUAAGAUAAUUAAGAGGACACACCUACCCUAAUCAAUAGUGACCCAAUCCAUAGGGAAUAUAAAGGUCUUAACACUAUCUCAAUAUUCUAUCAUAGUUGAGAGAUUAUGUAGCAUAUUAGCUUGGUGAAAUCAUGAUUACUCGAUAGCCAACGUCACAAUGCACCAUACGUCUUGUCCAAUGUGUAACCAUACACACUAAUGUACUCAGUAUGGGAAACCUAUCUAAUGACAAAGACAAGUCAUCUCUCUAAUUAGAAGGUAAUGCAUUACAACCUCAAAUGAAUUGCUUAAGUCUAUGAACUAGGGGCUAAUUACUCAUCAAAAUACAAGGAACCAUGACUUCAAUUUUCUAUGCAAUACUUAAUGCACCUAAAUUAUGUAUAUUACAAAUGAUGCAAUCUUGAAUGCUAAAAUAAACCAUAAUGUAAAAGUGAGAUAGGAAAGUGAAUCUAAAAACUCAUAAAUACAUCAUGUCAUUCUUUCAAGGGCUCUAUCCUAACAAUUGAUGACCUACCAAAUUAGAUGCAUGAAAUUCAAUAAUAGAAACUUGAACUUUGUAACCAUAUCUACAAUUUUAUAUCAAACCUUGUCAAAAUGGCUUAUGAAAAGUGAUUGAUAUUUCAAAAGAACAUAAAACUAAUGAUGGGAAAAAUGAAAUCAAAUAUCAAAAGCCAAAGUCAAUGACAAAUAGUUAUGUGAAGAACUUUGUGGUUAUGUAGAGUUCUCUCAUAUUCAAGAUUUCUUGUAGUUUACUUUGUCAAUCAUAUGGUUCUAAAGUUGGCGUUUCUUUAAAUUGGUACAAUAGUAACUUCAUCUUAACUAUUAGAGUUUCUCUCAUGUUGGUAAUUGCGUUGAUUUUUAUGAAAUCAUUAAAAUAUCCAUCAUAAGGUUGUAUAAUCGACAUUUCUAAAUCAAUACCAUAACAAAGAAGUUUAUAUAAAGAAACCUAAAUGGGUUUAUAGGUUAUAAAUGUAAGUGAAAUAUAAUUUCAUCAAUAUCCACCCAUCAAAUAUUUUUGGCUUUAUAUAUAUAUGCAUAUAAAGUUUUUAUCAUGUUAUCCUCAUAUAAAGGUUUAGCAUGAAAACCUCAAUGAAGAUUUCAACCUUGUUGAGAAGAUUCAAUUGGAGUAGGACUUAGCUUUGUGUUUGCUUUUUGAAGCAUUGCAAGCAUUUUGGUUUUACAUGAAUAAGAGAUUUCAACCAAGUAGUUGUUAUCAUCAAUAAGGAUAAGUUGUUUCCAUCUUGUCCCAUCAAAAUUCAUGCAAAUAUGCUUAGUUAUCCCUUUGUGAGUCUCAAAGCGAAUUUGGUGUGCCUGAAUUGAGAAGUAAACAAAGAAGAGGAAGAAGAAAAAAUAGAAGCUAGUUUAUACUUGAUAUUUGAAGAUGCAUCUUAUUAACAUGUUAGUUUCAUCAUCACUACCACUAUUAUAUAUCAAAACUAAAACUUCAAAUACUUUUUAAUAUUUAGCAUAACAUAUAAUUGUAACAAAAAUUAUAUGAUCAAUUUAGACAUGUUUUAGGCUUAGUUUGAUUAAGGAAAAUAUAUAUGCAUUGAACCAAUCUAUGCAAGACAAGUCCCAUGGAUAUUCAAAGGAAGAAAAAUUACAACCCCAAGAAGUUCAUCAUCUAUAAAAGAUGAUGUAAAGUUUCUCUGCAAAUUACAACCCCAUUAGAAUUUUCAAUAAAACAGUUAAUUAAGAAAGAUAAAGUUAGUUGCAUGAAAUUGAAAAAAAAAAAAAAAAAAAACGUUUCCAUUGUUCAUCUCUUUUGAUGUAAAACAAGACUUUCAAAAGCUCACCUUGUUUUUUCUCCUAAAAUUUGGCUUGCCCCAAGGGUCUAGUUCACUAGGGAAGCUAGGUAUGUUCAGACAAAUGAUUUACCUUAAGCUACAAAUAAGAAAGAAGUAAUUAAAAAUAUUAUUGAUGUUCAUUUAUCCGAGAACUAAAUGAUAACAAUAGAUCAAUUACAAAAAGUAGAAGUUAGAAAAAAUAGCCUUGGAAGAUAUAAUGUAAUUAAACUUUGUAUGGUCAUGUCAAGGAGGAUGGCAUUUUCAAUGACCAUUGUUGUUAAAUGAAAAAAAUAUAAAGCUGAAAAUAUAUUUGUUAUGAAUGUUAAGGAGGCUAUCUAGUAUCGAUGUAUUAAAGAAUUAGUAAAUAACAAAAAGCAUUUGAAAAUCAUUUCAUCAUUUGCUUUUAUUAUUAAGCAUGAAAAAUGAUCCACAAAUGGAUCAACUUUGUUGUCUGGAUAUUCUAAGGAUGGUCACAAUCUAUUUUAGUUUUUGAUUCAAAAUUUUAUUAAUGAAUUAAACUAUUAUAGAUCUUGCUUUUAAAUUACUUUUAUCUUCCUUAUCCUCACUCAACUUUAGUAUUUUAGCUAAUCUCUAAUACUUGUUCCCAAAUCUUCAUUAAGCUCCACUAGUUUAUCUAAUAUUCACUAACAAUUCCUUAUUAUUUGAACAUUUUACAUUCUUCAAGCCUAAAUUUAAAAGAAAAGCAACUCUAGAUGAAAGGUUUGACCAAUGCCCAUCCUUCAAGAAAAUGCCAAACGCAUUUCUUUUUCCUUGCAAUUUUAUUUUUUUUGUUCAAUUUUCUUAUGUUGAAAGAUGUUUCUUCAUUUUCAUGGUAGAAAUAGGUUAGACAUUCAUGAAUACUCAUCACUUCUACAUUAUUUAUUCUAGAUAAUUUCUCAACGUCAUCUUAUAUUUUAGAGGCACAUAUGCAUGUGACACACCAAUCCUAAGAUGGGGUGACACAUUGUUCUUGUUGGGAUUUUUUUCUUCUUAGAUCUUUAUUUGUUUUGAUUAUUGGAUUUUUGGAAUCAAACCUAGACAUAGAAAUCAUGAUUGCUUCAUUUUGAAUUUCAUGCAUAGAUUGUCUUCCAUGCAUUUAAAAGUCUCACUUUGAACAAUUUACAAUCCUAUAAUCUAAUCUUCUUGUUUUUAGCCAUGCUAUUUAAAUCUUUAUCUUAUAAAGUUUGAUUAGUUUUAAUAUUAUUUUAUUUACUUGUUUAUUUAUUCAUUGUUCAUAGUAUAUAGUUAUUAGAAUACUUUAUCCAAUUUUUCAUCUUACAAAGUUUAAUAGAUUUAGUAUUUACUUGUUUUUGUCAUACUUAGUUUCAUGUCAUUAGGAUGGUCUCCAUGCUAGUAAAAAAUUUAUCUUGCAAAGGUUGAUGAUGGUAUUUAAUUUGUUUUAGGUUUGUUGUAUUAGUUUAUUUCCCAUGCCAUUUAAAAAAAUCUUAUCUUGUAAAAGUUUGAUAGUUUUAACAUCUUCCUUUUUAUCGAUUUUUUUGGCCUAUUUGCCUUAGGAAUUUUAGUUAUUAUCUUGAGAUCCCAUGAUAUUUAAUUUAUGUUUGAUAGUUUUAACACCUACCCCUUUAUUGAUCUUAGCCUCAUUCCCUUAGAAAUUUUUAGUUAUUACAAAAUGCCAUGCUUAGUAUUAAUUAUUUUAGGUCAUCUUGUAUUGUUUAAUUUAUCAUGCUUAGGUUACUUCAAUUGUGUUAAUUGAUGUGCUUAUAAAUAAUAAUUAUUUUUUUUAUUAGUAUAUAUGUAUAUCUUUGAAUUACUUAGGCAAGUGUCCUUUAGUUUAUUUUAUUAAUUACAUGUUUAUAAAAUCCCAUGUUUAGUAUUAAUUAUUUUAGGUUAACUUGUAUUACUUAGUUUAUCAUGCCUAGGUUUAUUUUGAUUGAGUUAUUUGAUGUACUUAUAUGUUAUAAAUAUUGCUUUAAGAAUUUGUACGCAUAUUUUUGAGUCCUUUAUGUGAGUCUCCUUUAGUUUAUUUUAUCAAUCAUAAAAUCCCAUGUUUAGUUUUAAUUAGUUUAGGUUAUCUUGCAUUAUUUAGUUUAUCAUGUCUAGGUUAUUUUGAUUGUUAUUUGAUGCACUUAUAAAUAAUUGCUAUUGGACUAUUGAUUAGCAUAUAUGUUCUUGAGCUAUGUAGGUUAGUUCCCUUUAAUUUGUGUUGUUUUAUGCUUUCGCAGCCCCAUGUUGUAGUUUUAUAAACUCAGGUUAGCUUGUAUUCUUAGUUUUCUAUAUUUAGGUUCCUUUGUUAAUAUUGUUUUAUAUACUGUUUGUUAGUUUAUUUAUUAGAGAUUAGUAAAUGUUUUUAGGCUUAGUUUCCAUUAGUUUGUCAAGAUAAUUUUAUGCUUUCAAAAUCCAAUGUUUAGUUUUAUGAAUUUAGUAGUUUGUUAUGUUAAUUUUAUACUUUAAAAAAUCCCAUGUUUUAGUUUUGUAGUUUUAGUAUAAGCCUGUGUUCUAGCUUCUUAUGUUUAAGUGCCUUUGAAUUUGCUAUUUUAUGAUAUUUAGAUUAUAGAAAAUAAUGAAGUAUUUCUUGAUUAUUGUAAUUUAGUUCAUGUGCCUUGAAAAAUUUCUUAGAUUUUAGAAAAUAAUUAAAUAUUUCUUGAUUGUUGUAAUUUAGUUCAUGUGCCUUGAAAAUUUUCAUUUGUUAAAUUUGAUUAUUUUUGUUUUAUGAUAUUUAGGUUUUAGAUAAUAGUAGAUAUUUCAUGAUCGAUAAGUAAUGAGGUUAGUUUUUGAUACCUUCAUUUAUAGUUUGUAAUCUUUCAAAUUUUUUUUUUUUUUUCAGUUAACCUAUUACAUGUUAGUUUAUUCAAUAUUUCAUGUUUGUUAAUUUAUUUGAUGCAAGUUUGCCAAGUUUUCUUUAUUAAUUAAUUCUUUAAAAAUAUAUUGGUUGAUAGUGUGUAGUUCCUCAAGUUAAUUAGUUUUAUUAGUUAAUGUAUUGCAUAUUAGUUUAUUAAAAUACUUCAAGUUAGUUAAUUUAUUAGAUAAUUUUCCUUUUUAAUUAUUUUUUAAAAAAUGGUAUUGAAAAACUACCAAAAGUUUAAUAGGGAAUACCCAGAUAAGGUAAAUGGGGUGAUUAAAAAAUUUAAAUAAAUAUUUAUAUAUUAUACCAAAUUCUUUUAACCUAAUAGAAAUUAGGGGUAUCCCAAAUAACUAAAUGAGUUCUACCUAAAAUCUUUAGAUAUAUAAAAAAAACUGAUUUUUACCUUUUAGAAAUGUCAUGUGAUUAGUUAAAGAUAAAAUAAUAUAAUUAUUAAUGUUCAAAAUAUAUGCCAGGAGAUGUUAGGGAUGAUAAUAGUUACCAAAAUGACCACUCUAAUCUCAAUAACAACCUAACAAAUCAAUCAAAGGAAUUCAAUAUAAUCAAUCAGAAUAUAAGUAAGGAAUAUAAAGAUAUUCAAUGAGACAAAAGAUUUUUACAUAGAAAACCCCAACAAACAAUGGACAUAAAAAUCAUGAGGUUUAAGACCUACUAAUCUAAAUCCACUAUUUGAAAUCAAGUCACACAUAUUUACUUGACCACUUUACCCUAAAGACUUACUUUAUAGAACCUACAACCCAAUUCACGUCUACGAUGCAGUAACUUCCUAUUGCUCCUUAGUAGAUCCUUCAACCACUUCGAAGGGAUGAUAAUCUUCAACCUAAUAAUCAAAGAUCAAAUCUUUGAAUGAGAUAUCAAGAAUGAAAUGGCAUGUUAGGGUUUCUCUCUAGGAUCUCUAAAUCAACUAAAGCAAAAUCUCUAACCUUUAAUGGGUUAUCAGGGAGGUAUUUAUAAGCAAAAGCCUAAACAAUUUCAAUAUCUUAAGUUUCCAAAUUAGAGUUUGAGUGAAAUUCAUCCAAAAUCCGUUUCUAAACUCGAUAAUAUGCUCAUGACCGCUUAAGCAGACUUCAAACCGGUUGAGCGAACUCAAAACCACUUGAGCAGGAUUAAUUGCUCGAGUAGUCCUUGUUUCUUUUGAAAAGUCAUUUUAAAAUAUUUAGUAGGUAGAGAGCAUCUCACAUUAACCUCUUUGCCUUAAACUAUUAGGAUAGAGCCCUUAAAAGCAUGACAUGAUGUAACAAAAUUUGGAAUUCAUUAUUUAUUUAUUAAUAUUCUAGUUUCACUUUUAUCUAUCCUUAUUCCAUGUAUUGUACUUUAUGAGCAUUAUUGCCUACAUCUUUUGCAUUGUAUGUGAUUUGGGUGUAGUAGGAGUUGCAUGGAAGAUCCAAGUUAUAGGUUCCUUGCAAAUGGAUGACUUUUUCACAACUGGUUCAUAAGUCUAGGAAAUCCAUUAGAGCCUAUAGUGAACCACCUCCUAAUUGGAGGGAUAAUUGGUCUUGGCUAUUGGAAUGGAUUUCCCAUGGUGAGUGCACUAGUGUGUAUAGUUACACAUUGGAUUGGAUCUAUGGUAAGUCAUGACUUAAGGCUAUCAAGUAGUCUUGACCUCACUAAGUUGCCUCAUUGUGUCAUCUCUCAAUCUUGAGAGAAUAUUAAACUUGUGUUAAAGUUAGCAGUGGUUUUGACCUACAAAUGAGAUCGUAAGCUAAUCAUAUAUUCCUUAUGGAUUGGGCCACUGUUGUUGGAAACCGGUAGCAAUAGGUAUUCUCAAUGGAGGCGCCAUGAUAUCUAAUGGGAUUGAGACAAUGUGUCCCCUUGGGUGAUCAAAAUGAGGUGUUUUCACGGAAACUAUGGUCAUAGUAGUUCCUUAAGUGGAACUUGACAUAAGCUCUUUGAGAGCUAAGAUAUGUCAAUUGAACACACAAUGUGAGGAUCUAUAACUCAAGAAUAGUAAAGGUAGUCUUGAAAGGCUGAUAGCUUUCACCUUGUUAAACUAUGGACACUAGUUCAUGGGGAGAUUAAACACAAUGGAUAGGAUACUAGAGUUUAGUUGAUUCUUUAUAGUGGGAUGUUGAAUCAACUUUAGAAUUGAAUUAUAAGGGAGUCAAUACUCCUAUAGAUCCCAAUGGUACCCACUCUGAGCUCAUAUACCUUGUUGGCAUGGGUUAUGAGGGUUGGAUUGACUCUAGGUUCACUUUUGUGAAUAAAGGCGUUUUGGUAAUUAUGCAUGGUUGCAUAGGAGUAAAUGAACAAGGUCUUUGGAUUAGGCUUUAAUUAAUUAGUUAGUAGGCCUUAUUGGGUUGGUUAAUUAAUUAGGACCCAAUUUAGGCUAAAUUAAGUGACCUAAGCCCAUGUGUGCUCAAGUCACCUAAGCCUAGUUCCAAACUUUAUAAAUACCCCAUAGAGGUUAGGUUUCCAUAACCUUUUGUCUUCCACCAUCCAGAGACAAAGAGAGUCAUAACCUCCACCCUCCUUUCCUCUCCACUCAAAGUGUGCUAAAAACAAGGUUGAGUCAUUAGGUAGAAGCUUGUGGGUUUGUGAGAUUGCCAACAACUUCAAGGUCAUCUUCAAUACUUGGAAUUUAAGGUUUAGGAACAUCUAAACCUAAAGGUUAGUACUUUAACCCUAAAAAAUCAUUUUUGAAAAUUUGAGAUUGUUUUCAUUGCUUAAAUCUAAGAUUUUAACAUAGACAUGAAAAAUUCUUAAGACAAGAUUAGCAUACUUUUUAAGUUCAACUCUCGGACUAUGCAAGUAGGACCACUUUAGGUGAUUCAACUAUUUUAUAUCUAAAUUAACAAAGAUCCUUAAUAUCAAUAUUAUCAUGUGAAGAGUUCCAAUUUUAGGAUUGACCGCUCUUACUAUUAAAAUAUCUAGUCUUAUGUUUAAGAAAAUCCUCAUUCCUUAAUUCCUUUGCCCAAACCACUGUUGAAAUUCGCAAUGACCGAGAAUUGAGAUGGACUUUAAGAUGAUGAUGAAAGUCCAUACCCUUGAUAGGCUUAAUAUUGGAGGCUAUAGGCUUGCCUAUGAACUACUCUUACUUGAUCAUUUGAAUUGAUUAAGAGCUUUAGGGCUUUUGUAAUUACGAUGAUGAAUAAAUUAUCUUCUAUGUCUAAAAAAUUUUGAAAAUUUUUAUUUCAUAAAUUAGAAACAUUUUGUAAUAAGGCAAUGUGAACUUUUAAAAUUUUCAUCAAAAUAUUUUAUUGAAAAUUUAAUUUGAUAAGAAAUAUGCUCUCAAAUUCUAAAAUCUAUUUUCAUAAAAUUGUCAUUUACAUAAUUCCAAUUUGAAAAAUAUCUUAUCUUGGAAAUUUUUUCAAAGAAAUUUAUUUUCAUCAAAUUACUAAGUUUCCUUAAAUCAUUUUAGUAAUGUCCUUUAAUGAUAAAUUACUUCCUCUGAAAUUUUCCAAAAUAUUUAUUCCCAAAUUGGGAACUCUAAUAUAAUAAGAAACUUCAAUUUAUGAAAAUUUGAGAGCAUCUCCGAUAAGGAAAUAUGUAAUUUUGGAAGAUUCUAAAAAAAUGUUUUAAGAAAUUUGAAAAUCAUUAAGAAUAAUAAAAAAAAUAAACUUUAGCUCUCACGAUUAAAAAUUCCUCAUAAAACAUACUUUCCUUAUUUCUAUACCUUUUCAAUUUAAUAAAUAUUGUUAGAUUUGGAAUCUAAUUUGCAUACCAAUUUAUUUCAUUAAAAUGAUUAUAACUAUAAAUUCUAAUAAUAUUCUUAAAGAUAAAUUAUGCAUUUUAAACAAAGUUUCAAUUUUUUUUUAAUUGAGGAAUAGUGCAAUAAGAAAAUUUCUAAAAUUUGAAAAUAAAAAAUAAAAAUCCAAACAACACUUUAUCCAAUAAGGAAAACUUUAAUAAAAAUAUUUAAAAUCCUUGAGAAUAAUUUUAAAAAAGAAAAUUUUGCACUUUUGAUUUAAAUUUUAUUUUAACAAAAUUUAUUUCCUUAAUAUAUAGUAUUCAUAAAUUUAAUAAGUAAUAUCUUUUUGGACUCCAAUUUUCUCAAAAAUUUAUUUCCAUUAGAUUAUUAAGUUUGUUUUUUUUUGCAAAACAUAUAUAAUAGGAAAAAUAUACAUAUUAGGCAUAAAAAAUAUAAAAAAGAAAAUUCCAAUAAUUUCCCUCAGCCUUAAGGAUCCUAUCACAUACUUGGUAAGAUUUCUUGGGAUUUAAAAAUCCAAAUUUACCAAGAUACCCUUAUAACAAAAAUUACGGUUAGUAAAAACAAAAACCCUUAAAAUCUAGAAAACAAGUUAGUAUCGGUCGUUGUACAAAGGAGUGUUUGAGUGAGAGAAUGAGUGAGAGCGAGAGAGAGAUAGAGAGAGGAGGGUUAGGUUUUUUAAAAGACCACUAGUAUGAAAGGUAGAGUUUAUCCUCAAAACCCAAGGGGUUUAUAUAUACUCUCUUGUGAGCUCAAGUGACUUUGACCCAACUUGGGCUUAGGUCUUGAUCCAUCCCUUAAUGAACUCUAACUAAUUAAUUAAUUCAAUCUAGAAAAACUUAAAAUAAUUAAUUAUAAUUCUUAAGAAAUCUUUCACUUCUAUCAAAAUGUCCUUAUGCACAUAAAUGAUCAAUUUUCCAUAAAACUUUAAAACUUUAUGCUUAUAAAGACUAUGAGCUUGAGUGGGGCCCACUAAGACUCAUAGGAAAAUAUUUUCUUUUAGAAUCUAAUUCUAAAGUUGACUCAAUAUUCCACUAAAGAAAGUCAAUUGCACUUUCAUAACCUAUGACAUUACACUAAGAUGAAAAUUGAUUAAAUCCAAUUUAAUAAAUUUCUCAAGUUUGUGACCUUUAUCUAUUCGAGUUUGAACUAGGGUCCAUAAUCUAACAUAGUGAAAGCUAUUACACUCUUAAGAUUACGUCUACCAUCCUUGAGUCUCAAAUCCUCCUAUUAUAUGAUCAAAUUGACAUAAUAUAUCUCACAAAAAGUAUGAGUCAAGCUCUACUAAAGGAAUUACUAUGGUCCCGAAUUUUGGGCUAACAAGUGUUUAAGAUAACCUAAGAUGACACACUAUCUAAAAUAAAAUCUAUGAGAUAUCAUGGUACAUGUCUUAAGAAUGCCUACUAAUUAAUAGUGACCUAAUCCAUAGGGAAUAUAAAUACCUUAACACUAGCAUAGUAUUCUGUCAUGGUCUAGAGACUAUAUGACAUAGUAGCAUGAUGAAAUCAUGAUCACAUGAUAGUCAAUGUCACAAUUCACCAUAAAUCUUGUCUAAUGUGUAAUCAUACACACUAGUGCACUCAACAUGGAAAACCUAUCUAAUGAUAAAGGUAAGUCAUCUCUCUUAUUAGGAAGUAGUGUGCUAUAACCUUAAAUGAAUUACCUAUGUCCAUGAACUAGCUAUAAGCCACUCGUCAAAAUACAAAGAAUUCAUAACUUCAAUCUUUUGUGCAAGUCCUAAUACACCCAAGUUACAUAUAUUACAAUCAUGCAAUCCUGAAUGAUAAAAUAAACCAUAAUGUAAAAGUAAGAUGGUAAAGUGAAUCUAAAAACUCAUAAAUAUGUCAUGUCAUACUUUGAAGGACUCUAUCUCCACAAUUGAUAAUCUACCAAAUUAAAUGCAUGAAAUUCAAUAAUAAAAACUUGAACUUAGUAACCAAAUCUACAAUUUUAUGUAAGACCUUGUUAAAAUGGCUUAUGAAAAGUGAUUGAUAUUACAAAAGAAUAUAAAAUCAAUGAUGUGAAAUGGAUUUUCAAACUUACUAAUUGCUUUGGUUAUGUGACAAAUGAAAUUGAAUAUAAGAAAUCAAAGUCAAUGACAAAUGGUUAUGUGAAUAACAUCUUGGUUAUGUAGAGUUCUCCCAUAUUCAAGAUUUCUUAUAGUUUAAUUUGUCAAACAUAUGGUUAUGAAGUUGGCCUUUCUAUAAAUUUGUACAAUAGUAGUUUCACCUUGACUAUCAAAGUUUCUCUCAUUUUGGUAAUUGCUUCGAUUUUUAUGUAAUCACUAAAAUAUCCAUCAUAAGGUUGUACAAUCGAAUAUCUAAAUCAAUACCAUAACAAAGAAGUUUAUAUAAGGAAACCUAAAUAGGUUUAUAGUUUAUAAAUUUGUGAAAUAUGAUUUCAUCAAUAUCCUCCAUCAAAUCUUUUUGCUUGUAUAUACAUACAUGUAAAGAUUUUAUCAUGUUAUCCACAUAUAAAGGUUUAGUAGGAAAUCCUCAAUGAAGAUUUCAACCCUAUUGAGAAUAUUCAAUAGAUGUAGGACUUUUAGCUUUGUGUUUGCAUUUUGAAGUUGAAGUUGCAAGCAUUCUAGUUUUAGAUGAAUAAGAGAUUUCGAUCAUGUAGUUGUCAUCAUCAAUAGGGGUAUGUUGUUUCCAUUUCGUCCCAUCAAAACUCAUGUAAAUAUGCUUAGCUAUCCCUUUGCAAAGCUCAAAGCGAAUUUGGUGCACCUGAAUUGAGAAGUAAACAAGAAGAACAACAACAAAAAGUAGAAGUUAGUCUAUACUUGGACAUUUGAAGAUGGAUAUUAUUAACAUGUUGGUUUCAUCAUCACUACCACUAUUGUAAAUCAAAACUAAAACUUCAAAUAUUUAUCAAUAUUUAGCAUAACAUAUAGUUGUAACAAAAAUUAUAUGAUCAAUGUUUAAACAUGUUUUAAGCUUGGUUUAAUUGAGGAAAAUAUACAUGCAUAGAACUAACCUGUGCAAGACGAGUCCCAUGGCAAUUCAAAGGAAGAAACUUUUCCGCAUGCCAUGAAUCUCUAAAUCCUAUAAUCUCAAGAAGUCCAUCAUCCACAAAAGAUGAUGUAAAGUUUCUCUACAAAUUACAAUCCCAUUAGAAUUUUAUAAUAAAACUGUUAAACAAAGAAAGAUAAAGUUAGCUUGAAUAUAUAUAAAAGUUUCUAUUUUUCAUCUCUUUUGAUGUAAAACAAAACAUUCAAAAGCUUACCUCUUUUUUUCUCCUAAAAUUUGGUUUGCCCCAAGGGUCUAGUCCACCAGGGAAACUAGGCAUGUUAAGACAAACAAUUGAUCUUAUGCUACAAAUGAAAAAAAAAAACAAUUAGAAAUAUUAUUAAUGUUCAUUCAAAUGAGAACUAAAUACUAACAAUAGAUCAAUUACAAAAAGUAAAAGUCAAAAAAAAAAAAAAAAACAACAAAUAGCCUUGCAAGAUAUAAUAUAAUUAAAUUUUGUAUGGUCAUGUCAAGGAGAAUGACAUUUUCAAUGAAUGUUGUUGUAAAAUAUAUAAACCUGAAAAUAUAUUUCUUAUUCAUGUUAAGGAGGCUAUCUAGUAUUGAUGUAUUGAAGAAUUAGUAUACAACAAAAAGCAUUUGAAAAUCAUUUCAUCAUUUGCUUUUAUUAUUGACCAUGAAAAAUGAUCCACAACGAGAUCAACUUUGUUGUGUGGAUUUUCUUAAGGAUGGUCAUAAUCCAUUUUCGUUUUUGAGUUAAAAUUUUAUUGAUGAAUUAAAUAAUUUUAGGUCUUGCUUUUCUAUAAAUAACUUUGGUCUUCCUUAUCCUCACUCAACUUUAGUCUUUUAGCCGAUUUUUAAUAAUUGUUGUCAAAUCUUCAUUAAGCUCCACUAAUUUAUUUAAUAUUCAUUAAAAUUUACUUAUUCUUCAAGCAUUUUACAUUCUUUAAGCCUAAAUUUAAAAGAAAACCAACUCUAGAUGAAAAGUUUGACUAAUACCCAUCCUUAAAGAAAAUGUUAAACUCAUUUCUUUUUCCUUGCUAUAUCAUUUUUUUUUCUAUGUUGUAAGAUGUUUCUUCAUUUUCAUGGUGGAAAUAGGGCAUUCAUGAAUACUCAUCACAUCUACAUCAUUUAUUCUAAGAUAAUUUUUCAACCUUGUCUUAUAUCUUAGAGGCACAUAAGCAUGUGACACCAAACAAUUAAAAAAAAUAAAGAUGAUGUGACACAAAGAUGGAAGUUACAAUGUAUGUCAACCUCAAGACAAAACUGAUAGAAAAUAAUGUCAUUAUUUUACCUUCGAGGUAACUUUAACUUCUUCCAUUGAUGUUGUUGAUCCUUGAUUUUAACAAUUAUAGGCAAAGUAAUGUUCCUGCAUCAAUGAAGUUAUUCUUCUCAUAUUUUUUCAAAUAAUAAAAAUAAUAAUAUUAAUAUAGUAAAGAAAGUCUACACUUUUAAAUAUGAUUAUGGGAAAAAUACAUGAUCUACACCAUAACCAAUUAGAAAUGCUUGAACAACCUUAAUCAAUCUUAAUAAAUCACGUUAUGGUUUAAACAAACUUCAAGAAAUCAAUUGAACCCAUUCAUCUCAAGCUUCAGUUGAAGUAACAAAAUUCAAGGCUAUUACAUUAUUAUAUUUUCUCUUAGUAAUAUAUUAUAGUGUAAGUCUAUAUUAAUGAUAAAAUAAUUGUUGGCAACAGAUACAGUCACUUAUUCGCAUAUUUUUAGUUCAUUUUUCACUUAUUUUAAAAUUUCAAAUAGCAGUAUACUCCUUAUAGAAAAUAAAAGCAUUCUUACCUUUUGCUAACAUUCCAUCCAAAUUAAUUAGCAAGUUAAUAAUAUAUCCCAAAGUAUUCCAAAAUAGUAAACACCUACCCCUUGAUUAUUACACUAAAUUGGAAAAGUAUUAUAGAACAUAGAAAAUUAAUUAAAAAUAGUACUAUAAUAAUAUCAUAAUGAUAGGAAUUGUACAUCAAAAAGUUACCUUGGCCAUGAUUUAAAGUGAGAAUCACCAAAACAUUCUUGAGCAUCCAACCCUAAUACAAAUAUAAGAAAGAUAUAAUGUCAUAUAGUUAAAGCAUAGGGUACAAACAAUCAUCCUAUUCUUAUUGCAUGUAAUCUAAUGCACAAGGAGCUAAAUAUUAUCUGUAUCCUUGUUGUGCCUAAAUCUGUAAACAUUCCUAAAUUUAUUUGGCGUGGAAAAUGUUAGAAAUAUGUGGAGAAAGAAAAUAAAGGUAAGCAUGAUAAAUGAUUACUUAAAUGUAAGCAUUCAAGUCAUGUAAAAGACUUAAUGUGAUUUGUUCAUUACUAAAAUCAUAUUUUGCACUUGUUUAAAAUUGAAGACCAAGUUAUAUACUAUAGAUGAUAAAAAUGUGAUGACUAAACAAUGUGAAAAUCCAAGUAGAAUAAUCACAUAAAUUUGACCACCUAUAUAGAAUGAAUUUGAAACAUCCAUAUCUUACUUUUUAAGAGUACCAUAAAAAAAAUUAAAAUUUCUUGCCUUUUUUACUAAGACACCAAUAAGUUGAUUCUAACGUGAAAAAAUGAAAACCAAAUCAAAUCAAGUUUUAACUUAUUCUAGAUGAGGUCACAUAUUGACAACUCCACAUUUCGUAUAUAUGUAUACACACAUAUGUGCAUAUCUAAUUUCUUGUUAGUCUUUAUAAUUGGUUAAAUUUCUCAUUCACAAUCAAGUAUAUAUCAUCCAUAGAUCUCCUUCCAUGUGCAUAUAUAAAUUGGCUAACCCUCCUGAGUAUAAGCAAUGUGUGAGCCUACUAUGCAAAAUGCUAAUAAACUUUCCUUAGAAGCCUCUAAAAUGUUUGGUAUCAAUAUGGAAAUCAUCACUAUCUUUAUAUUAAUGGAGGUAUCAAUAUGGAAGCCUCUAAACUUUCCUUACAUAUUUCUUCAUAUUGGACUUUAAUCAUGAUGACAUAUUUACUUGUCUUCUAUUAGGAUAAAUCCCUUAAAAACAUGACAUGAUGUAAUAAUAAAUAGAUUUCAAUAUUAUUUAAAGAUGAUUUUGGUUUCACAUUCACUAUCAUUGUACAUGAGAAUACAAAAUGAGACAAACACAUGAGAUGGCUCAAAGAAAGAAAAAAAAUCUCUCUAAGAAAAAUAAAAAAAAUAAAAAGUACUCAAUAAAAUUAUCUCAAGUUGAGUGUUUUAACUAUAGAGGUAAAGGACACUUUCAUUUAGAUUUCCCUAUACCUAAAAAGAAAAAGAAAACAUUGCAAAUGACUUAGAGUGAUUUCGAGUCUAAUGAUAAUGAGUCUAUAGAAUCAACUAAAAGUGAAGAUAAUUGGUAAGGUCCAUCCUUAUUAUGAAGACAGUAGGUAGCCAUUUAAUUUGCCAUCUUAAGAAACCAAAUUUUAUUUUGGCUUUUAUUUGCUCCAUGCUGCCACUGCCAAAUUCCCAUUUUUAUACUAAUAAAAUCUUGCAUUUUUUCUUCCAAUAAGAGCCUACCUAUAUUUCAACUAAUGGAAGCAAUCAUUGGCCUUCAUUUAUUGCAUAUAAAUAACAAGCUUCUAGUGAUCAUUUGGUGAGACAAAAAAUUCCAACCAUUAAGAGUUGUGUAGAAAAGUGAGACAAAGAGAACACUAAGUGAUAAAAUUGUGAGUAUUACGAGCAUAUCCUGGGGUGUGUUAAACUCAAGUAAGGAUAAUACUUAAGUAAUAUUUUGUCCCAAUUUUAUCACAUAGUGAAUUCUUUUCUCAUCUUUGCCCAGUGGAGGUUUCCCUCAUUAUGAGGGUUUUAGCACGUAAAUUAGGUGUUCCUUUUUCUUUGUCACUUUUAUUUUCUGUGGAUUGGCACUGCCACCCAUUUACUAAUUUAAAUUUCUGAAGGUUGACAUAGCCACCUAACUACUUACUUAAAUUUCUAAAGGUGGACAUAGCCAUCCAACUUAUUCAUUUAAUUUCCUAUGGAUUAGCAUUACCACCUAAUUACUAAUUGACAAUUAUGGUGGAUUGGCAAAGUCACUCAAAUAUUACUUGUUGUAAUGUUUAAUAGGUCACACGCAUUCCCAACAACUAGUAUUAGAGCGUGAUUAGGAAGUUCAAGUUCGGGUAGAAUCAUGGCCGAAAAUUAUUUGGGUACCAUGAUUAAAUUUACAACUACAAAUUACUCAUUUUGGAAAUCCAUGAUGGAGGAUUUCCUCAAUUGCAAGGAUUUAUAUGAUCAUAUUGAGGGAGAUAAUGCUAAGCCAAGUGAAAUGCCAAAUGCAGAUAGAAAGAAAUUAAAGAAGAAAUCAUUGGGUUCUAUUUUCCAAUGGGUGGAUAUUAGUCUUUACAACCAUGUUGCCAAAGAGACGGAUCCCCAAACUCUUUGGAAGAAUUUGGAGAGCAUGUAUGAGAAAAAAAACGCACAAACAAAAAUUUUAUUAAUGCAAAAGCUGAUAAAUUUAAAGCUAAAGAAGGGAUGAUCAUUUGUUGAACAUUUGAAUUAUUUUGAAGGUUUGAUCACUCAAUUACCUAUUGCAGGCCUUUCUCUUGAUAAUGAGACCCAGGCAUGCUUGCUACCCAGUUCAUUACCCGACAGCUAGAAUACUUUGGCGGUACUAUGGGAAAUUUAGCCCUAGAAGGAAAAGUCACAUUGGGUAUGGUUAGAAAUAGCAUAUUCAAUGAGAAAAUUCAAAAGAAGGAUUUGAUGGGCAAUGAUACACAUGCCCUUGUCACGGAGAACAGGGGUAGAAGUAUAAGCAAAGGACGUUAUGGGCAAACAAAUUAAGAGGUAGAUCAAAGUUUAAAGAGAAGAUAAAAUGUUAUCAUUGUGGUAUAAUAGGCUACAUGAAAAGGAACUGUAAAUUUCUAAAAUAGGGAAUAGAUAAGAACCAGAAGCGGGUAGACGAUAGGAAUACCACUACUACCACCUCUACCAGUGACAACAAGGUGACCUUACUCUACAACCAAGAAGAUUGUUUUCAUGUAGCAGAUCAAGAUGACGAGUGGAUAGUGGCUCAGCAGCAUCAUACCACUAUAUUAAAAAUAGAAUAUUUUUCCAUAUACAAAGUGAGAGACUUUGAUGUUGUGAAAAUGAGAAACACAAGUGUUUCUCAGAUUGUGGAGAUUGGCGACAUCUGCACACAAACAAGUACGAGGUACACAUUAACAUUAAAAAAUGUGUGACACUUUCUAUGUCUACAUUUGAACCUAAAUAUGUAUGCUAGACAAGGAUGGAUAUAGCCACUUUAUUGGUAACAACAAUUGGAAACUCACCAAAGAAUCUUUGGUGGUGGUAUGAGGUAAAUUAUGUUGCUUAUUGUACAAAACACACGUGAAAGUGUGUGAAAGUCAACUAAAUGUAGUUGAAGAUGAUGCUUCUCCAUAUUUAUGGCACAAACAGCUGGUGCAUAUGAGUGAGAAAGGGUUACAACUUUUGGCCAAACAGUCCCUCAUUCCUAUGGUCAAAGGCAAUCAAACCCUUAUGAUUAUUGUAUAUUUGGAAAGCAUCACAGAGUUUCAUUCCAGAAUAAUUCCAAUCAAAAAUUGGAGAAAUUGGAAUUAAUGUAUUCUAAUGUUUGUGAAUCCAUGGAAAUAGACUCGUUGGGCGGUAACAUAUACUUUGUUAGUUUUAUUGAUGACGCUUCAUGGAAAAUGUGGGUAUACCUGAAGUGUACAAAAAAAAAUCAGGUAUUCCAGUAUUUUCAACAAUUUCAUGCCAUAGUAGAGAGAGGAGAGAAAUCCACUAAAGCUUCUUCGAAUAGAUAAUGGUGGAUAGUACAUCUUUAAAGAUAUUGCUCAAAGCAUGGAAUCAAGCAUGAGGAGACGGUUCUUGGUAUGCCACAGCACAGCAGCGUUGCUGAACGGAUGAAUCGAACUAUUAUGGAAAAAGUCUAGUGUAUUUUGAAAAUAGCUAAACUUCCUAAGUUAUUUUUGGGUGAAGCUAUCAACACCGCUAUUUACCUAAUUAAUAGAUCACCAUCAGCUCCUUUGGACUUUGAUAUUCCUGAGAGAAUUUGGACUGGAAAUGAUGUUUCAUACUCUCACUUGAAGGUGUUUGGAUGCAAAGCAUUUUUACAUGUACCCAGGGAGAAAAGAUCAAAGCUUGAUAAUAAAACAAUUCCUUGUAUUUUCGUUGGAUAUAGGGAUGAGAAAUUCAAAUGCAAGCUGUGGGAUUUAGAAAAGUAAAAGAUAGUCAGAAGUAAGGACAUCGUGUUUCAAAAACACGAGACCAUUGAAGAUAUGGAGAAAAACGUGGGUAGUGCAAAACUCACAUAUGAAGGUGUUGCAAAUUUAACACCAAGGCAGACUUCAUUAGAGAGUACUACAAAUGAAACAAAUAUGUAAGGAUCAUAACAAGGAACAAAAAUGGAAAAACCAACCAUUGGGGAUGAGAAAAAUGUAGACGACAAUAAUACAAGAGGUGCUAACCAAGGGAGCAAACCCUUUCACCAGAAAAAGAACCUCAAUUAAGAUAAACUACUGGAUAACUUCAAUCAUCUACAAGGUAUCCCAAUUCUAAGUAUAUUUUAAUUACUGAUGAGGGAGAACCUGAAAGCUUCUAGGAAGUGCAAUCUCACAAAGACAAAGACUAUUGGAUAAAAUUCAUGCAAGAAAAGAUGAAUUCCUUGUGGAAGAACCAUGCAUACAAGUUUACAGAACUACCAAAGGGGAGGAAAGCACUCAAGAACAAAUAGGUGUUCAAACCAAAGAAAGACAACAAGAAGUUGUUAAAGUACCAGGCUCGAUUAGUGGUAAAAGGAUUCGGUCAAAAACAAGGUAUUAAUUUUGAUGAAAUAUUUUCAUCUGUUGUGAAAAUGUGUUCAAUUUGAGUUAUACUGGGAUUAGCAGCAAGUAUGAAUCUCCAAUUAGAGCAACUCGACGUAAAUACUACAUUUUUACAUGGUGAUCUUGAUGAAGAGAUCUUUAUGGAGCAACCAGAAAGCUUCAAGGUUAAAAGGUAGGAGAACAUGGUUUAUAGGUUAAAGAAAAGCCUAUGUGGAUUAAAACAAGCACCAUAAAAAUGGUACAAUAAAUUUGAUUCUUUCAUGAUGAGUCAAGAGUACAAGAGAAUAGUUGCAGAUCCAUGUGUAUAUGUUCGGAGAUUCCUUGACGAUAAAUUCAUCAUUCUCUUAUCAUAAGUUGAUGAUAUGAUGAUUGUAGGACAAGUUGCAGAUAUGAUUUGGAAACUAAAAAGGGAAUUAUUAAAGACAAUUGACAUGAAGGAUUUGGGUAUUGCAAAGCAUAUCUUGGGGAAGGAGAUCCUACGAGAUAUAAAUUGACAAUUUUCUUCCAUUUCUUAUUAAUUACGAUGAACUUAUCUUUAUAGGUCUUAACAACUAAAAAAACUUUGAGGUACCAUAGGAUUGAGUUUAGGAAGGUAAAAAGUCAUCAAAUUUGAGGAAAUGAUGUAUUUUUGGUAUAGUAAAGUUUUUUUAAAUGGUAAAUAUAUGCAAAAGUGUUGAAAAGGCAAUUGAAAAUAGCUUGAAACUUGUGAAAUUGGAUAAUGUACUUAGUGGAAGUUCAAAUAGAUAAGAGGGGCAUUCAAAUAGUUUGUUAUUUUUUAAAGUUUCAAAUUACAUUUUGAAUUACAAAAGCCUUGAUUUUAAAGAGAUAUAAAAAUUGGAAACUCUUCAUAUUUAGGGUUUAGGUUUCUUGAGUAUAGAAUUGUUUCUUUCAACUUAUGUUUCCUAAGAACAUUCAUAUUAUAAUGAAUUGCAUAAUAUUUAUGAAAAAAAAAAGUACAAGCAAUCUAAACCAUACCUAUUAUAAGAUAGUUCCAAAAUCUCCCACAAAGAUCUUUGUCACCUUCCUGGUAAGAUAUGAUCAUUAGAAGUACAAAUUAAUAAGUUAAAAAGUCUUAUCCACUUCAAGCAUUAAUUCAAAUAAUGAAUUAUUAAUUAAUUAAUUAAUUCUUCUAAAUUUAAUAUUGUCUUAGAAGAAAUUAAAUCUUAUGGAUGUUUUAGGAGAGUUGCUCACUUAGCAAAGCCAAAUGAUUAUAGGUUGGAGUCCCACCAGGAAAAAAUAGAAAAAGGAAAAAAAAAAGUUUACCAAUAAAAGAAAAUGCUACCAUGUAGCUAGUAAAGAAAAUGUGAACUAUACAUUUUUUACUUAACUAAUAUGAUAUAGAUCACAAUCUCUCUCCCAUAUACAUAAUUUGUAAUGUCUAAACUUAUUUAAUUAAAAGAGGUGGAGCAAGUUUAAACCCUCAUAAGUCAACUGAAAAUGAUGCCCAAUCAACUAUUUAUACUAAUGUGACUAUUAUAAAAAUAGGAGUACACAUGUAUGAUAUGUAGAUAUAUUUUGAAGCACAAUGGUAGAUAGCAAAAAGUAGGAGAAAGUGUCUUCACCCAUUGAAAUAUAUGUUCCACUUUUAUGGGUGUUUGCUCAAAAUAAUGCUCGAUAAACUAUUUGUACUUAUAUGAUUACUAUGAAAAUAAGAGUAUGUACCUAUGACACGCAAAUAUAUUUUAUAGUAAAAGUACCAUAGGAAAUAGCAGAGAAUAGCAUAAAUGUCGUCACUCACUAAAUCUAUGUUUCAUCUACUAAAAUAAAUUUUCUUUAACCUUAAAGUAGUAUUUUAGAGAAGUUCAUAAAACCUUAUCAAUUGUUGAGGUAAGCUAAACAAGUUGAAUGGAAAAUAUAAGAUAGUUAUGUUGUGCACUAAAGUGUAGCGAAAAAGAACCUUUGUAGAAGCAACUUGGUUAGGUCAUGCCUAAUUAUUGGCAUGACAAUUUGGUCUUUAAAGAAUUUCUAUAUAUAGCUCCAAUAUAUUGAUUAACUAUGUCAGCAUUUCAUCACUACUAACUAUGGUUUUAUUUUGCGCACCUUAUAGAUUCUAGGAUAUGCCUCCACUCUUAAAUGGCCCACUUCUCUAAAGGUGUGAUAUUUUAAUGUAAUUUUGUUAUGCACUACUACCUUUUCCCAAUCUACUUAUGUAGGAAUUUUCAUGUCUAUAACCCUAAAGACUAACCAAUUAAUAUUUAGGCAAACUUAAAUUAUGUUAGAAUUAAUUCCCUCUAAAGUAUGCAUGAAAAACUACAUGAAAGUCAUAGUGAGUACUAGAGUUUGAAGUAUAUCAAUCAAUUCAUUAACCAAUCAUUAUUGUCUUCUUGCUUGAAUUGGUAUCUAAUCCGUAUAUAAUCUCAUAAUUGAUCAACAAAUGUACCAAUAAGUUUGCAAUCCACAAAUAAAGUCCACAUUUGAUGUUAAUUUCACUUAUUCCAUUAUCAAGCUACUCAUGAUAAGCAUGGAUAAUCUUAUAGUGUCCCUAAUAUAUUUGCUAUAAAAAAAAGUCAAUUUUUUUAUCCAAUUUACUAGUUUAAUGGAGUUACUUUUAAAAAAAAAUGUCAAUAUUAGUAAUUAUAAUAUAUCUAUCCAUAGCAUAGGCUAUUGGAAUUAAAUGUGAUUGUUUAGCCAUAAUAGAUUUAAUGUAUUUUAUUAAUAAUGGAGUCAAAUUUAAAACUUGUGUUGUAAUAUUAGAAAGUUAAAUGCUAUCAAACACUUAGGAAUAUUUAGUUAUGAAAGACCAUAGACUUUGUAUAAUAUGCACAUCAUAGAAUUUAAUAAAUUUGAUUCUUCACACACACACACACACACACACAUAUAUAUAUAUAUAUAUAUGAAUAAAAGGCAAAGAUGUUGCAUAGGUAUUUUUCCAUUUGAAGUCUCAACUAAAGAAAAAAAAAAUUCAAGAAUUGAAUAAACAAAAUGAAGGCUUUACUUGGUUCUUAAAAUCAAGGAUCAAAAUUCAGGAAUUAAUGAAAUAUUAAUGGUUGGAUUUUUUUUUUUAGAAGGAAGAUAAUAUUGACAGUAAUAAAAAAAAAUCUCAAUAGGAAGGAAAUUAAUUAAGACUCAAAAAAAUAUUUAAAAAAUUCUAAGAAAUCAUCAAACAAGUAAAAAUAACAUAUAAAAUUAUUUUAUUGAAAAUAUAAUAUAUGUAUGAUAAAAUUGGUAAUAUAUAUUUGUGUUUAUUUUGUAUUUAAGUUUUUAUAUUUUCAAUAAUCACUCAAAUGAGAAAUAUCAUUGAUAUAUCACAAAUAGAUAUUAUAUAUUAAGUCAUAAAUAUUAUAACAAGGGCAAAGUUGCCCCACCAGUAAGGUGCUUCCAUACAAGAGGGAUUUUUAUAUUUUAGGGGCACUAUUGAUGUUGUGACACGUAAAAAAAAUUCCAAUGGCUAAAAUCUUUUUUUAGCCAUUGAUCGACAAUUAAUCCAAAAACUUGUGACAAUAAUUUUUUACAAUAAAUGAUAAAAUUUAAUUCUUACUCAAGAAAUAUGUGAGGCCAUGAAGGAUGCAUUGGAGAUAAUGGAAACCUCUUUAAAAAAGUUAAAAGGUUAAGAAAAGUUUUAGCUUUAUACUUUUUGAGGAGAAUUUUGAAGUUUUACAUAUGAAGAAAUCUAAGUCAAUUUCCAAUUACUUUUUCAAGAGUAUUAGUAAUUUUGGAUCAAUUAAAAGAAAUAUUGAAAGUUUGAAUGGUAUUCAAGUGAUUGAAAAGAUCCUUUCAUCUUUUAAUCCAAGAAGUUAUUAUGUUGUUAUCAUUAUUCAGAAGUCCAAAAAUCAUGAUCCCAUGACCAUUGAUUAACUCGUAGGAUCUUUACAAGUCCAUGAAUAAUAUUAAAAUGAAAGAAGAAAGAAAAUUGGAGCAACUCCUUCAAAUCAAUUUACUUUAUGGUAAUGAAAUAAGUCAAAGUAAUCUUGAUGGUAGACAUGGAAAAUGUGGAACACAUAAUUACAAUUCAUUCAACAAUGAAAAAAGUCAAUAUUGUAAUUCUAUAGAAGGACAGAAUAUGGAGCAAUGGAAAAUGAAAUGAGAGGGCAAGGUAUGAAAAAUAUUAAAUUUAAUGUCACAAUAGAUAAUAUUUCUCUAUUUUUCUUUAAUUUUGUGGAUUAUUCAAAUCCUAUUUGUUGAUAACAAUAAAAGAAUAGAUAAAAAGAAUUAGAUUAAUUAUUUGGAUUUUUUGUUACCUCGAAAUGUUCUUGUAAGUUUUAUAGCAUUGUCUCAUUUCAUUUGAACUUUUCAAAGCAAAUGAUAGAGAUAUGUGAUUAAAACUCAAACUCAACACUCUAAUGGCUCUAAAAGGCUUAUUUUAGUAUGGUUGAGGAACUUAUAAUUGAUCCACUACUUACUUUUGUUUUUAAUACCUUAGUCUUUUAUAUUUGAUGUUUUUGUGAGAAUUAUGUAGGUCUUCAAGGUAUUUUAAAGUGUGUUAGAAUUUUUUAGGAGGAUUUGAAUGAAGCUUAAAGAGUAAGAAAACUUAAGAAUUGGAGAAGAGCUAUCUAAAGUAGUUGACACAUCUAAGAGACGCGUCAAACUGAGGCCACACACCUCUCAAAUAUGUUAGGUAAAUUGUUCAUCACUUAGAUGACUCAAGUUUCACAUCUCCAAGCUCAUUUAAAUUAUGCACUACCUCCAACUCACUUAACUUAUGCACCCCAACUCACUUAAAUUAUGCACCACUUUCCUCCAACUAAGUAGCUCACCUUCAUUAAAACCAACCUUGCAUCCUUCUUCACACUUGGAACUCCUCCAACUACCACCUUUGCACACCAUCUUCUCCAACAUCCUAUGCAUGCUUCUAGUCACCUUCACCAAUUGGCACACCUUGAAGAACAAUGAUGGCGCACUUUAGGGAUAUUCACUAGACAAGAUGGAAGAAUUUUUACUACCAUUGUAUGCACCCUAAAGAAUACACAAGAGCAUAGCAUGCAACUUUUAAAAGGGUGAGAACUAAGUGUCAAGCACAAGGUAGAGAAGAAAGCGAGCUGCAGAUGAAUGACCAAGCCAAUCUAUGAAAGCCAAGGUGGUUGAACCAGUCACCAUGCUAGUCGUAAUAUCAUAACAACCCAACAUAGUGUUCAAUUAGAGGAACAUCUAAGUAGAAAAGACUUACAAAAUUAUUAUAUAUAUAUAUCUUAACCUCAUUUCCAACUCUUAUUGCAUAAAUCAUGGUCCAAUAUUAACAUAUAAUGAGAAUCUCAAGGUACUUGGAGAAACAAAAAAAAAAAAGUAUUCACAUUGAGAAUUUUUCCUUAAAUCAUUCUCACACACUACGCACUACAUCCGUCAGUGUUAAAAUACUAGAGUUCCCAAGGAAGGGAAGUUGGGGCAAAUUGAGGAAAAGAAUGAUAUAUUGCAUAAAGGAAACGAAGAUUAAUAAAAAGAUCUAAUGCCACUUGCAUCCCGUAUGAGGUUUUAGCGAAGCAAAAAACUUGAGAAAUCCAUUUCCAUCACUUGAAGCUUAGUUGUAGGUUCUCAGGGGUGCUUUAUCACUCAAUUCCUUAGACAGACUAGUAUGGGAUUCAUAGGCUAAGUAACAAGGAUAUGAGAAUGUUUGUAUUCCUUUAUGUUGAAAAAAAUGUUGGAACAUUAAAGCAAUGAAUUAAAUCUAGAAGAAUGAAGUUUGCUCACAAUCCAACCUAAGGAACUGAGUAUAACUAAGAGUAAAGGAUGCCUAUACAGUUCUUGCUUUUCAUUUAAUUUUCAUCAUACUUAGCUAGUUUUACACUUCAAAGGGUAAGUAAAGCCAAGAUUUUUCCAUAUCCCAUUUCAAAUCUCUAGUGAUUUGAUUUGUGUAAGACUCAAGUAAAGCUAGCCUUUUGUAGUGGUUAUAUUGACCAAAAGGAGUAACCAUGCAAAACAAGUGUAUGUUGUCAUGGUUGUGAGGGUUGCAAGUUAACAAACCUUAGGAGAAUGCCUAAGGGAUCAUAGUAUUGAUUUCCUUGAGUAGAGCACAAACCUACUAAGUUGAAAUGAAACCCAACAAAAGCAUCUAGUUGCAAGGCCCUAAACAAGAGCAACUAGAGUGAGUUAAGCCUUUUUAAGAUGGUUCCCAUUCCUCUUAAGUAUAUACUUUUUGGUAUAAACCCUUGGCUUAGACUUAGAGUCACAAACACUAAUCUAACGCCUUGUAAGAGAAUUAUAGAUAGAAAUGGUGAUUUCAAUGGAUCUCCACUCUUAAAGUCUGUUUUCUUUUAGUUUUUUGUUUUUAAAUUUCAUGUUUUAUCCCAUGACUUCAAGAGAAGCAAUUCUAUUUGAGCUCCUAAACUACAUUCAUACCUCUUGCUCUUUAUCUUUGCUACUCUCAAGUAGAAGUCCCUAUGGAGACAAGCUAACUACUAUACAAGCUAUUAGUUCUUUUUAUUUUUGGUUCAAGGACUAAGAGUUUCAACAACUAAGUUGGUUUCAUUUAUUCAUGUAAAAACUUUGUUGUAAAAUCUACUAAAAGCAUAGGUCUUCCUAAGAAAAUUGUGGUCGUGAUAGAGAUAGAUUAAAGAGCUCUUGCAAUGCUUUAUUCAUCUAAUCUUUUCAUUCAAAUAAUAGAAAAAAUUCAUAGCUAUCUUCUUCGAAAGCCUAAUUUUAUGUUUCAUUAAACUUGGUAUCUUUUACUAAACUUAUAACCUUUAAAGUAUGAGUAUCAUUUCUUCACAAUAAAAUGAAAUAGAUAGAUUUAUUCCUGACAUGAGUUGAAGCAUGAUAAAGAGUAAGAAAAAAUAAAUCUAUUAUUGACAUAACUUGAAGUAUGAUAAAAUAUAAGAAAAUAUCUAAUAAAUUUUAAACCAAAGAGGUUGAUUACAUGUAGUCUACAUAACAUAGGAUUGUCUUAGUGAAAGAAUAUUGUGUAUCUCGCUUGAGAAUUCUUUUUAAAGUAUUGAAUGUGCCCAUGUGCCAAAAGAAACUAGUAAAAGUUAGAUAUCAAGAGUGAACUUUAUUUUUAUUUGCUAUGACUCAUACUCUAAAUAUUACAAGACUAGUAGAGAUUGCAAGUUUGAUGAAAUGUGGGAUUCAUAUGUCAAAGAAGAUGACUAUGAAUUUUUUUCCUUUUUUUUAAGAAGAAGACAAGCGAAUAAAGAGUUGUAAGAGAUCAUUACUCCUCUUCUAUCACCACCAUCUACUUAUGAAGACUCAUCUCCAUCGUCUUUAUUGAAAAGUACAAAUAAAAGUGCAUAAUAUUACAAGAGCCUAUAAAAAUGUUUUGAGGUAAAAAGAAAUAAAUAAAAAAUCUAUUGUUUUUUUUUUAUCUAUUUUCUUAUUAUGACCGAUCAAUAAGGUUUGAAGAAGGAAUGAAAAACAAAGAGAUGGAGAGAUGCUAUCAACAAAUGAUAUAUGGGAGUUAAAACCAUUACAAAGCAAUAUUAGUGGCUAAAGGUUACAAAUAAUAACAAAAUAUUCAUAUGAUAAUUGAUUAAAAAAUUACAAAUCAUGCAUCAGACAGCUUUAACAAAUUAGUGGAGAAAUGUCAUCCAAUGGACCUUUUGUUUUUUUUUUUUUUACUUUUUCACCAUUUUUCAUGAUUUAUUUUUUUUCCUAUUUCUUGAUAUUUUGGAAAUUCUUCAAAUAUCUCACUACCGCACAUGAAAUUAGCUCAUUGUGUGUCGUGUUCUCACCGUUUGUGCUCCAUGUUUGGCAUGAAUUCCUUAGUGCCAUGUUUGGUAAGAAUUCAAAGGGCAAGAAUGGCAAGCAUCUAGCUCAAAAGAUAGACUACCCUUAUUACAUUUUUUGUAAUUAUGUAUAUAAUUAUACCUAUACAAUUUUCAAAUUUCUUUGAACUCAUUAUCCAUUAUUAAAAAUAUAAAAUACAUGAUAUCAAAAAUAAUUCAAUAUAAAUUUAUGAUAUAACUACAAAUAUUUUUUUUUAAUAAAACAUUAUUACACUUAUACCAUCAUGUUUUAUAUAGUUUACUAUUUUAGUAUAAAAUAUAUUGGCAAGUUCCAUAUAUUAUUGUCAUAUAUAUACAUAUACACACACAUAUAUCCUUCUCUAUUUUAGGAAAAUUCCUUUUAUACAUAGUAAUUCAAAUCAAUUUCAAAUCUCCUACUAACUAAUUUAUAGUUGUACAUGAAGUGUUUUAAAAGGAGAAAAGCCCUAAUUAAUUUAUAAUUAUACAAGAGAAGUCCUAAAAGGAGAAAAAGUCCUAACUGAUUUACAAUUGUAUAAAAAGGGUCCUAAAAAGAGAAAAAUCCUAAAUUAUAAGACCCAAACUUGCAAAACUUCCCCUCAAGUUGGUGAAUGGAGAUUCUUUAUUCCCAACUUGCCUAUAAUUCCUUAAAAUGUGGUAUUAGCCAAUCUUUAGUUACAACAUAUACAAGUUAGCCACGUUGAAAUGUCAAUCUACUUCCACAUGCUUUAUUUGAUCAUACUAUACCAUAUUAUGAGUAAUGUUGAAUGCAGACUUGUUAUCACAGUAAAGUCUCAUAGGGUGCCUCUACUUGAUUUUAAGAUCAUCUAAAAUAAUCUUAAGCCAUAAUAGUUCACAAAUUCCAUAAGCCAUUACUUGAAACUCCACCUCAACACUAGAUCUUGUGACCUCUAGUUGUUUUUUACUUUGCCAAGUAUCAAGAUAUCCCCUAAGAAAAGUAUAGUCCCCUAAGGUUGAUCUUCUAUUUAAAAUUAAUACAACAUAAUCUGGAUCCAUGUAGGCUUUCAGGCACAACUUCAUAGCUUGUUUGAAUAACAACCUUUAUCGAAUAUUCAUUUAAGGUAGUACAUGAUUCAAUAAAUAGCUUAAAGAUGAGUGUAUUUGGGAUUGUGCAUAAAUUGACUAACAAUGCUCACAACAUAUGCAAUGUCUAGUCUAAUAUGUGUUAAGUAAAUUAAUUUGCCCACUUGUCAUUAAUACAUGGCACAAUCUACAAUCCUAUCCUCCAAGGCCUCUGCUAAUUUAUGGUUUGGGGUUGUCCACUAGCUUGCAUCCAAGUUUCUUGGUUUCUUUAAGAAGAUCAAUAACAUAUUUUGAUGGUGAAAUAAAGAUACCCUCCUUGGAAUGAGCCACAUUGACUCUUAGGAAAUAAUUUAAUCUAACAAGUUCUUUAAUCUCAAAUUCUCUAGUUAAAUACUAUCAAAGAGCCUCAUUUUCUCUGGAUCAUUACUAAUCAUAAUAAUAUCAUCCAUAUACACCAACAAAGUUAUCACUCUCUUUAAAGUCAAAUGCUUAAUGAACAAAGCAUGAUCACCUUGACUUCGUUUGUAUUUCAUGGCAAACAUCACUUUAGAAAAUCUCCUAAACCAUGUUCUUAGAGAUUGUUCUAAGUCAUAUAAGGCUUUCUUUAAUUUUCAAGCAUUGGGUCCACCAAGACUUUUGCAAAAUCCUAGAGAAAUUUCCAUAUAGAUAUCUUCUUCUAAGUCCUCAUGCAAAAAUACAUUUUUUUUACAUCAAAUUGUGGUAAGCUCCAACCAAAAUUAGCUACUAAUGAUAAUAACAUCCUUAUGAUAUUUAUAAUAGCUAUGAGAGCAAAGGUUGCUCAGUAAUCAACCUCAUAGGUUUGUGUUAGCCUUUUAUUACUAACCUAGUCUUAUAUCUUUCUAGUUAUACUUUAUUAUGUAUACCCAUUUACACCCAAAUGGUUUCUUCCUCUAAGACACCUCUGCUAUUUCCCAUGUUCUAUUUUUCUCUAAGGUCUUCAUCUUAAACCUCAUGUCUUGUCUCUAAUUCUCAUUAUUUAGUGCCUCGAAAAGGUUUUGUGGAGUGAUGAUGGUGUACAAAUGAGUGAGAAAAUUUUUAUGGGAGUGGAAGAAGUUAUCAAAAGACAUAAAUAAUGACAACAGAUGUUCUUAAUGGUAAUGGUUAAAUCAAGAUCAUUGUCAACAUUUGAAGUACUAGGAGAGAUAGAGCUAUUACCUAGCCUUAGUUCAGACUCUUGAGUAUACAUGGGUUCAAUGGUAAUUGUUCUUCUUGUUGAGUAAACUUACAAUGGUUUUAUAACAAUAGUUUCUAGACUAAUGUUAGUAAAAGGAUCCAAUUCAUUUUUUUUAAAACUGGUUUAAUUCAAGCAUUGUGGCAUUAGGAAAAGAUUAGAUCAUGUAGUCUAUGUCUCCUGAGUCAAUGACCCAAGAGCCAAUGAAGGAUAAAUAUGAGGCCCUUAAAGUAUGAGAAAUAAAAUAUUGCCUUAAAGUAUGAGAAAUAGAAGACUUGCUUGUUUGUGCCAAAGAAGACAUAAUUAUUUAUUCAGAGUACCAAAAAAAUAUCUUAGCCUUUCUAUCUCUUCUUUGUUUAGUUCUCCCAAUUCUUCACUAUUGAAACUAUGUUUUUCUUGAGGGCCUCCUUCAAAAUUUGCCAUAAUUUCUUGAUUGUGAUUUUUCCAUGCUUUAUUUUCCCUAUUCUAAUCCAAGUUUUAAGGUUUUCCAUUAAGUUUCCUAUACUUCUCUUUGGUGUUUUAGGGCUUCUAGUAGUAAGUACACUAAAGUCCUUCACGAUUGAGAAUUUUCAACUUAUCAAGACGCCCAGUUUCUCUAGCAAGAUUUAAGUUGAAUUUGUUUGGCAUUAUAGCAACCAUGGAAAAACCAUGAAUAAAAUAUGGUUCAAGCAUCACACCUCUCUGAUUUUCUUUAGCACAAAUGAUGGAGAUGAUUUCAUUCAUGGCUAGAGGCUCCUCUUUUCCUAGAACUUAGACCCAUACUUGGUUAAACUAUAAAUUGGGCCUAGCAAGAAAUUCAAAAAUUCAUUCUUUUUCUAUAAUUUUUUUUAGCACUAUUGCAUCUUCACGGCAUUUAAUUUGAAUGUUAUGGUAGUAGUCAAUUUCCUAUCACAAAUUCUUCAUAAUAUUGGCAAGUUUAAUUACAAAUCUAGUUCCUUAUUUUAUAGUUGAAAUCUUCACCUUGAUUUGAAAAUUUGAGUAGAAUCUCAUAUCUUUGAAUAGGUUUGUGGAAUGGCUUUGUAAACCUCCCUAGUUGUUGUAAAAAACAUACAUGUUCCACUAAUUUUAGGGGACAUUGAAUUCCAUAACCAAGACAUGAUCAUAGAAUCCUUUUCAUUCCAACUCUAAAAUUUUAGAUUUCCAAGUUUUAGUCCUAUGCCAAUUAAAUGGUUCAAUUUUCCUUUACCCUUUAGGGAGGUUCACACUAACUAAGAAUAUUGAAGAUGAUUCUUCUCAAUAAGGUGCUAAGUAGCUUGGAAGUUCUACAAUUCCCUCGUGGUUUAGCUUAGCAGCGCUUUGAAUAUCGCCUUAAUAGAACUCUGGUAGUAGAAGUGUGGUUCAAUAUUUCAAACAUAAUAGUAGUGAUGAAUGGAGACAAAAUGAAUAAUAAAUAAAUCAACAAUGAAACUCAAGAAAUCAAAACACCACAAAAAACUUCAAGUAAGGAUAGGUAGCACUCAAAGUUUUCACCAAGCAUACAAAGAAACCAGAGAAAGCUUUGAUACCAUGUGAAAUUCUAAAUUAAAAUCAAGAGAAACACACACACACACACACACACACACACACACACACACACACACACACACAUAUAUAUAUAUAUAUAUAUAUAUAUAUAUAUGUAUGUAUGUAUGUAUGUAUGUAUGUAUGUAUUAAACCAACUUCAAUGUGUAUUAUUAUUAUCUAUUUUACCUUUUUUUUUCAUAUUUAUGUAAUUUUCAUAAUUUUUUGUCUUAAAAAGAUUUUUUUCCAAAUUUUUGUUCAAUUUUUUUUAUAUUUCCUAAUAUUUCUAUAAAACUCAACUAUUGAUAUUUUCACAAUUUAUGAUAUUUUAAUCCUUGAUCAUGAUGUCAUAAUUUUUUUUUAGUUACAGUCUAUAGAAACCAUAAGAUUAUAAUUUCUUUCAUAGCUUAAAAUACAUGGAAAUUUUGCUAAAAGUGUGAUCAAAAUCAAUUUUUUAAAUGAAUGUCAUAAAGAAAAAUUAUAUAUGAAACAAAUCAUGGGUUAUAAAGUAAAAGGAAACAAAAAUAAAGUUUUGAAUUGUACAAAAGCUUUGUAUAACUUCAAGUAGUAACGGGUCAAGAUCAUGGAAUAGUAUUUUGAUAGAUAUUUUCAAUAUAGUAUUCUUACUAAAUAUCCUGUGACGAUGUGCUUUACACAAAGAAAAUAAAAAUAUGAAAUACUUAAUUUUUACCAAAAAUUAUCUAAGCACGGAAGUGCGAGAUAGAGGAAAACAUCCAAAGCAAGAUUACAUCAAAAGGGAUCUAAACUAAUCUAAACUAAAACAUGAAGAAAUCUAAACCCUAAAAAUAUAUCAAAGAGGCCUUAAGACAAACCCCUCUCCAACUGCAAAAUGGGAUAUUUAUACCAUUCCAAGGUUGCCUUAACGUGGAGACAUGUUGAGGAAUUUUAAUCCCAAAGAUUUAAAGGAUAUGAGAAAAUUUCCAAAAAAAAAAAAAAUGUGUCCAAGCAUAAACAAUUAUUUUAAUAGAGAUGGUGCCACCCUUACAAAAGCAUUGCACCCAAAGUGGCAAUAAGCAAAGGGGAGGUUGCAAAUUUGGGCACCAUGGGUCAUCAUCCCAAGAUGGAAAAUGGCAUUGUGCAUUCUCUCCUCCUCCCUUUCCCCCCUCCCCCCCUCCCUCCUCUNNNNNNNNNNNNNNNNNNNNNNNNNNNNNNNNNNNNNNNNNNNNNNNNNNNNNNNNNNNNNNNNNNNNNNNNNNNNNNNNNNNNNNNNNNNNNNNNNNNNGUAGCACAAAUUUGACUGAUUGGACAAUACAAUGAUGCAAAUAUCACACAGAAUUGAUUUCUACUUUACUGUCCCAACAAUAUUUGACAUCAAUCAAUGUGUUUGUUAGGUAAUUUGACAAAAUUUUAAUAAAAAAGCUUAACAUGCUAUAAGAAAAACCAAUUGAGAUCUAAAUGGACCAUAAAUUAGCAUCUACAUUGGCAAAAAACAUGAGGUUCCAUGAUCAAAACAAAAACAUUGACAAAAGAUAUCCUUUCUUAAAAAAAUGCAUAAUGAAGAAGUAAGUGGAAUUGAAGAACCUUGGUACUCACGAUUAAAUUUUUGACAUAUUCGUAAAAGUAUGAAUAUUUAGUAAGUCCAUUGUGCUAAUUGAUUUUUAUAUUAAUUGUGGAGACAAAUAUUAUAAUAUAUAUUAAACUUUUUAAUGUUACUUUAACUCCAUUGAUUGAUGGUCCGAGCAUAUUUUUACUUGGCUUUUUUACUUUGAUUAUAGAAACUUGAAUAUGGAAAUGACAAAGUUUAUGCUAUAAAUUAAUAAAUUUACUAUAAAAUAUUGAUACAACUACAAAAACAAUCAUGAUCCCAAAACAUAUGCAUUGUAAAAAACUAAUGCAUUAAUUAUUUGUGCAAAAGCAAAGUUCUCAAUUUGCAAGCAAAAUAUUUGUUCUCUUGUAAAUUAAAAAAAUGUUAUAUGACAAAACGUUACCAUGAGCAAUAAGUCGUCUUCAGAAACAUGUUGAACGCGAAGAGUCUUUGGUAUCUCAAGACAAUCUGGAAUUGAUGUCCUCAUUACAAAAUUCCAACUGGAAUAUAUUCAAACUAAAAUCAUUUAAAUUUGGCCCUUGGAAACUUCCAACAAGAAUUAGAACAAGAAUGUGAAUUCUUAAUUACCAUAAAACAAAGGACUCUGACUAAUCAAAUAUCAAUUAUUUAAGAAUGUGUAAUAAUAGUAAUCUUCUAUUAUGAAAUGUAUACAUUAGUCAGUGUUGGAAAGUAACUCAAAUUUCUAAUUAAUAUAUACUCACAUCUAUGAAGAAUAUUAUAUAGAAGAUCUCCUAUGUUGCUAUGUUAUUACAAUAUUAUAGUUUUUUUUUUAUAUAGGAUAAGGAAAGUUACUAGGAACAUCUCUAUAAAUAUUCUAGGUCAUAAGGAGGAAAAAGAAAUAAGAUGAAAUGGGUUUGUCUACAUGCUAGAUAGAGAUAUGAGAAAGAGUAGAAGACACCUAAUGAAAUGAAGGCUCAAGGUUCAAGAUGUAGAUAUAAGGAAUAAAGAAAUAUGAGAUUUUUUAGGACUUAACAUUGGUAUAUAAGGAACAAAGGUUCAAGAUCUGUAAUAUUCUCUAUAAUAUAGUAGAAUGAUUUCUCUUAUUAGUAGAUAUAGGAAUUGUUUUUAAACUAUGCUAAAACCUUUUAUUCCUUUGUGUGUUUUUUAUUUUAUCUUUAUAUUCUAACACUAAUAUAUCAGCACUAAAGCUUUCACUAGUAUGACAAAUUGGUGUCAAAGCUCAAAUUGAGAAUUCUAGAAGAAGCAAAGAGACCAAAACACAAAAGAAGAUUACAAAGGAAUUUUAGUUGAAGGUAGAGUCAGUUGUUCUCUCAUCAAAAUGUGAUACAAGAAAUGUGUUUUCGUUAUCCAAGAUAAGCAUAGUUUCUCCUGCACACUUAUUCCAUCUUAAAAGGUAGAAAUGAUGAAGUGUUUGAAUGAUUUAAAUCUAUAGCACAUGACGGGAUCAUGGCACAUGACAAGACUGUGAUGCACAAGGGUAACAAUGAUAUUUUAGGAGUGUGGCGCACAAUGGAAGUUAUGAUAUAUAGUAAGGAUUUGAUUCACAUAUGUUUAUUAAAGUGUGUAUCAAAGAUAGAUAAAAGAUAAACUUGAUAGAAUUUGAUCAAGAUGAUAAAGAGUUCAGAUUUCCUUUUAAGAUGGUUCUAGUUAGUACUAGAUUAGUGUUUGAGUUAAUUAAAAGAAAGCCAAUAUGCUUUGUACAUUGCAUCAAAUGAAAAAAAAAGAAAAAGAAAAAGAAAAUUAGUACACUCUUUGCAUGAUUUUAAUGCUCUUUGGUUGAGAAAUUUCUAGACUCAUAUUAAGGCAAAAGCAUUUAUAAUGUAUACGAAUAUAAAUUUUAGUAACUUCUAGUGAAGUGAUCUUUCUAAAUAAGAGAGUAGUAUUUAAUAAAUAAAAUAAACCUAGCUCAUUAAAAACCACAAAAGUAUCCUACACGAGCUCCCACUAGAAAGAACUUUUCAAUUCCAAAAUCUUGUACUUGAAAGUGUUUUGGAGUUUGAGUGCAAUAGACAACACUUUAGAGCACUUCAAGAAUCAAAAAGAACUUUUGGCUAGACCAAAAGUUGCACCAAAAUGGUGCUCAAAUUUGAAGGAUGCUCAAUGUGGAAUUAUUUAGAGUCAGAUACAAAUGGUUAUAUAUAAAUGAAGCGGAUUGGCUAAGGUUUUGUUCAAGGUGAAAUAUUAAUUAUUUUAUUGAUUUUGAAAGGUUCAUUUGAUCCUAACUUGCAAUUAGGACUUGAACCAUAACUUGAGAAGAAUUGAAUCAUAAUAUAAAUUUGAAUAUGUACUUAAUGCUCAACCAAGGAAGUAAUGCUUUUUGUUAAUUGUUGACAACAUUGAAGCUCAAAGGUACAGGACUACAGUGAGGAAAUUGGUAAUGCUUAUAUAUAUAUUAUGCAUUCUGUUAGUAACAUUCAAACUUUAUUACCUGUCUAUCAAUAUCACUUCAGCAUCCCUUAAUUUAGGAAAGAAAAAAAAAGGCUUAGAAUCUGCAUCAGAAAUUUGAUUUCCCUGUCAAGCAGUUAAAUUAUGCGUUAAAAAAAAGAAAAAAAAAAAAAACCAUGUCUUUUAUCUCUUUAUGUAAUAUAAAUAGGAUGAGGCUACCAACUUAUAUGAAAAAGAUGAUAAUUUUUGUAUUACCCAUCCAAGAGAAAUUGAAAUGUCAACUUGUGUUCCCAAAGGCAUCACACCAAUUAGCGGUGUCGGAUGGAGUUCCAUAUCACAGAAUGCUUGUAAAACCCGAUUUGUUGUAGCAUCGCCACCAAAAACCUGGUGAAGCAUACAUAUAUAGUCAUUAUGACGAGUUAAUUGAGAGAAACCCAACUGCAUAUAUCUUAUAUAUAUGUUAUAAUAAAAUAACAUUUACCAGUAUCUUUAGUACAUCUAGAAGGUUUAUGAUUUUUUGUUCUUUUCUUUUUAAACAAUCUAAUAGAUUAUUGCAUAGAAUAAAAGAAAAAAAAAUGAUAUAAUAAUUAAUGAACUUGUUUAAUAUUUUAUUAGAAUAAAUAAUUAUUCAAUUAGAGAGAAUUCUCCAUUUUUAAUUUCACUCGUAUCAUAUUUACUUAUGUCAUUCAAAUAAUUUUAAUAAAAGAGCUCAACAUCUAAACAGAAAGUUGGGGGAAAGCUUUUAGGCCGUUAGAAUUCUUAAGAGCCGAAGCCCAAAUUGGGGCCAAUUGAGUCACAAUUCCCAGGUGCGUUUUGAGGGUACAAAGGAAGGCUUAUAAUUGAAAUUUGAGACAAGAUUAAAUCUUAAAGAUCACAACUACUCAACUUACCAAUAUCCUCACUCUGUCUACAACCUCAGAAUCGCUUCUCAAUCCGAAAUACAGACGAAUGAGAUGUAAUGGCAAUUGAGGAACAACCUCUGAAAUGUCAGGAACCUGAAAAGUAAAGUUAUUCAAAGCAGCACUAAAACAAAUCCUCUGAAUCAAUCUUGAGGGUGCUUUAAAAUCUAACCAUUUUCAUUGGCCGGAAGAUGCUACGAAGAGAUAGGAGCAAAUCGUUCCCCUGAUUGGGUGGCCGGAAGAUGCUACGAAGAGAUAGGAGCAAAUCGUUCCCCUGAUUGGCAUCGUCUUUGGGGUUGAUCAUUACAUAAAAUACUAGUGGUUUGCCAUUUCCUAUUAACUCAAGUAAGUGCCUGCGACUGCCACAGUUAAUACACGUUUAGUAUAUGAAAAUAGGAAUUGGAAAGCCAUGAGUAUGGUUGAAUGCCCCAGGAUCAUUAGAGUAGAUGAUUUAAAGAAACAUAAGAAUCCCUCACUUAUCUUAAGGAUUAUCAAACAACAAAAUAAAAUAUACUCGCCUUUUCAAAAAUUUAUUAAAUAAUACGCCAUAUAUAUCUUCCAUUUUUAACAUUUCAAUAUUAAGUAUAUUUUAUUUAUUUUAAUAUAAAAUUAAAAUAUUAAUACAUUUAUAUAAACUAUGAGAAAAUGAAUAUUAUUGAUUUUAAUUUUUUACAUGUAUUUUAAAUUUCUAAAAACAAUAUUUUUAAUUCAAUAAAAUAUAAAUUAUAUAUUUAUAAUAUCAUCUAUUCAAUCACAAUUCAACCGCUCAACUAUAAAUGAGUAAAAUUUCAAAUUCAAUACUUUUAAAAUAUUAUUUAUAAAUUGAAGUAAUUCAAAACAAAAUUCAACAAAAGAGGCAAAAAUUCUUUUUGUUAUGUAUGUAAACACAAUUCUUAGAAAUUUUAGAAAAUGAAAUAAAAAAUUUUAAAAGAUAGUUUAAAAAAAAAUAUAUCGUAUGUGAAUAAUCAAAUAUUUUUUAUUGAAAGGAUAAUUUUUUUAAAAAAAUUAUAGAUAAAUACUGAAAAAAUGUAUCAAAAUAGUUAUUUUGACAUUUCUAAUUACUUCUUUUGUAAACCCAUACACUUCUAAGUCAUCUUCAAGAAUAAUAAUGUUCAUAAUUAACUAAAAAUAUAUGUCGUCAUUGUGAAUGCUAAUGAAGCAAAAUUCUAUAUUUUAAUAUAAAUAAUUGGAUUUUAACAUUCAAUAUAAAUCAUUGAUUAAUAAAAUAAAAUUUAAAAAAAAAAAAAAAAAAAAAAACUGAUUAAGGAAAGUGUCAAUCUCCUUAGCUUACUCAUUCAUCUCCUCUUACUCCAUUUUCUACAUGAAAAAAAUUCAUAAAUACUUGCCCUCAAUCUUAUAAUUUUUUUCCUAUUUAAAUUUUAUAGUCACCAUAAAAUCUGAACAAAAGUUUUUUUUCAAAUAAAAAAAAAAAGACCCCGCCGGCUUCAAUAAAUUCUCAAAAAUCAAAGAACAAACUCAAAAAAAACUAACUAAAUAAAAACAGUUACAAAAAUAAAAUGAAAUUAAUUAAAAUUAUAAAUGAAUAGACUCUAAUGAAAUCACUUUUGAAAAAUAAAAUAAUCUAAAAUAUGAUAUUUCUUUUUAUAUAUUUUGUAUUAUUAUUAUUAUUUUUAAAGGAAGAAAGAGAUAAUUGCAUCAUUUACACAUAAUUUAACCCAUUCCUUUAAUACGUUAUUUGGUAAUUGAUUGCUUAUUUAUAUAUAAAAUCUAGAGUAUUAAUCAAUACAUUAUACUGUAAACAAGUUCUUAUUUAAAUCUCAAAAAAUCUUAAAUAUAUAUAUACCAACAAUGUGAUUAGUAUAUGAAAAAUGUGAAAAUAUGAAAAUAGCAACCUACUUAAAAAUCAUGUGACCAUCAUAAAAAAUAUUAAAUUAGAAAGGUGGUAUAUAAAAUCAAGCUGAAAGCAUAGAAACUUACUCCCCUCCAUAGACUCGGUUCUCCAUAAUUGUGAAGAACGUUGUUGCAGCUAACGGGAGACCAUGAGAAUGGUAUAUCAUUUCAUCCUUCAUUUUCACCAUAGUGGGAUGCCCCAUUGGAAGCAAAUCUAGAUUCCUAUUAAUAAUGAGUUGCCAAAUAUCCUGAUUGGAAAAGGGCUGCAUACGAUAUAAAUUAUUGGGCCCAACCAUCCUCUUAGCCACACCAUGGAGUCUGGUUGUAAUGAUGAUGACUCUACUCUGAUUUGAUUUGUUACACCACUGGAGUCUCUCCUUUAACCUGAAGUACCAGUCCAGCUUGAUAUCCCAAAUUCCAUCAAACACUAAUAAAUAACUCUUACUCCACAAUGCUUUGCAGAGGGCCUCCAAUAGCUCCUCCUCCUCCACCUCCACACUAUCUCUUUGCCCACCAUCACACUGCUUCAGCAUAGCCUUGAGAAUCUUCUUAAAAUCUAUUUCUCCUUUCUGUAUCGCUUGUAAGUUGAUCCAAAUUUUGGAGCACUUAGAGACAUGGACGAUACGACUGUAGUCGAAAACUGUUCGGGCCAGAAGGGUCUUACCGCAACCCCCAAUCCCCACAAUUCCAAUUUCCUUACUAAAUCCUUCUCCAUCCAAUUCACUUGUACCCAGAACCAAUUUUUCUAUAUUUUCUAAUUGGUCUCCAAAGUAAUAACUGUGUAUCGUUGGUCCAUCAAUUGAUAAAGAGCCAGAAGAAGAAGAAGUUGUGGCUACAUCCGUGACGGCAGAAAGGGAAGUCUGCUCUGGUACUACCGGGUGGCUUGUAGCAACAAACAGCUUUUUCUUGAUGUGAAUCAGCUUCCUUUUUGUUUUGCACAGAAACCAUAGCUCAGGCAGAGAGUAGUGGCCUUGCCCUUGCCCUUGCUCUUGCCCUUGCCCUUGCUCUUGCUCUUGCCCUUGUGAGGAAUCCUUGUUGAUUUUCAUUUUGCGCUUCUCCAGGAAGAGGAUGCAGUCGGACAAUGCAAUGCUGAGGUCGUAAAGACAAUCCUUCAUUCCUGUCGACGGCUUGAUGCUUUUAGCUUUCAGAACCUCUCGAAUUUGUAGAAAAUAAGAAUGGAGGGGGAUGUCAUGAGGUGGAGGGUGUUCCUCCUCUGCUUCUUCCAAUUCAUCCAUGAAUUUGUUCUUCAAAAACUGAAGAAUAUCUGCUGACAUUUUGGCUGUAAAAACCUAAUCUCCCAACUCUCACAAUUAAUAUUUGCUUACAUCGGCGUAAGGCUUUUCUUGUUCAAAUGAAGAGAAUUUCUUGUGGUUGAAGGAAACGGACAAGAAUCCGAAGUAGAAAGAAAGAAAAAGAAAAGGAAGGAAAUUAAAGCAAAAGAAAGAGAUUUAUGCCGAUACUUACUUGUUUGACACUCCAAACUACAUGGAAUUCCCAUUGGUGAUGAUGCUGGGAAUUUGGAGGAUGAUUU